Molecule: long non-coding RNA, 59865 nt
Filed under: Sorghum bicolor (sorghum)
Lineage: Eukaryota; Viridiplantae; Streptophyta; Magnoliopsida; Poales; Poaceae
Description: long non-coding RNA (SBIC_LNC004340)
Rfam family: tRNA (bases 50649-50721)
Source: RNAcentral
UGCUUGUGCCUCUGCACGGCUGUUGAUAACCACAAGCUGGCCGGAGAGCUGCACCUGCUGCACGGCGAGGAGUAUACAUCGUGCAAGUACCCCUGCUACCUGAAAGGGAAGACAUGAGCAGUUACUACUCGCUAGUGCCUCAUCUCCCUCCGCAUUCAAACGCCGUCCCGGGUAGGUCGUCUCCAUUCAAAGCACCUGCCUGCACCGCUCAUCCGAUCCUCAGCCUGACCAGCGUCGUUUGGCUGAUAAGCCAUGGUAAAAAAAUACUGUUAGCUGAUUUACUGCGAGACCUCAGCUGAUCAGCGUCGUUUGGCUGAUAAACCAUGGUAGAAAAUACCGUUGGCUGAUUUACUGCGAGAGAAAAACACUGCUAAAUAGCUGGCAAAUAAGCCUAACCAAACAAGUACACAGCAAUCUCUCCACUGUUGCUUCUUCGUUCUGAGGUUUUCCAUAAUUCCAUUCAUGCAUUCGUUCUCAUCCACAGUGAGACGGGUGACAGAUGUUUAGACAAUGCGUUGCACGUGCUCGAUCGUGUUCCGGUAGGUUCUCAGGUUAAAACGGGCCUAGCUGUUCGUCUUGUCAAGCUCCUUAAUUAAUGAAUCCACAGUUGGCUCGCAAAAAACCUCGAUCGGAUUGCAAAUUAACUGACUGCAAGUAGUAAUUAACAUGCUGCUCACUUGUUCGUUUGGCAUACAUAUAUCACGUCCUGAAUACUGAUCUAUCUGACGAUGCUUUGCUUCUCGCCGGAGCUCCAUCUAGCUAGUACGACAGUAGACGCUGUUGUUGAUGAGCCACCAAACCAACACCAUUUCCUUUUCUCGCUGAUCGAUCCCCGUGGUUGGAACACGACCACCGAUCGAUCUGGCCGCCGCCGUCGCCGGCGAGAGCGAGGGGGCGCUUUGGACGGGUGAGCUGCCCCCGACCAACCACCACAGCCCGGGCCGGCCGGGUUGCCAUCACCUUCGUUCGCAGAUUGUGCAGGCGCUAUGAGGGCUAGAUGGAGUCAGAUCAUUUCAUUAUGAUAGUAGCCGUGGUAUGGCGUGGACUGGUGGAUGGUGGUCAGUGCUCGCUACUCACUAGUCACCACUCAUCAGUACUUGGGCUUUGUUUAGGCCUUGUUUAGUUCUCAAAAAAUUUUGCAAACUUUUUUAGAUUCCCCGUCACAUCAAAUCUUUAGACGCAUGCAUGAAAUAUUAAAUAUAGAUAAAAAUAAAAACUAAUUGCACAGUUUGGUCGGAAUUGACGAGACGAAUCUUCAAUAAAUAUGCUGCCACAUCAGCAAAAUACCAUAAAUAAUGUGUAAUUAAUUGUCUUGGACUCUAUGAUAGAGUCUUGCAUUGUGAGUGCCCUUAUACAUGGAACUCAGUAGAACGAGCAUAUACCUGGUAAUAUCGAAGUUCUUCUCGUUUUAGGCCUUGUUUAGUUCACAUCAAAACCAAAAAAUUUUCAAGAUUUCUCAUCACAUCGAAUUUUGUGGCACAUGGAGCAUUAAAUAUAGAUGAAAACAAAAACUAAUUGUACAGUUUACCUGUAAAUCGCGAGACGAAUCAUUUAAGCCUAGUUACUCUAUGAUUGGACAAUGUUUGUCAAAUAAAAACAAAAAUGUUAUAGUGUCAAAAUCUAAAAACUUUUCGGAUCUAAACAAGUCUUUAAUAAUCGUAUACAUAUAUAUAGCCAAGGUUAGGCAUUUAGACUUUUGAUGAAGAACGAGAACUUCUAGAAGCUCAUCAUGAUCGAUGACGGCCUCAUCAGAGCGGUGUUGCUAAAAAAAAAAGAGUACAGAGCGGUGGCCAGCACCACCGGCCCCAAGGCUUCGUGCAGCAGGUAAGGUCGGCUUGAUGGCACCGAUCCAGCCUUAACUUCGUGGAGGUUGCAUUGCAGUUGCAGUGAUGAUGGAUGCACAACAACACAUGUGGAGUACUCGUAUAGGGUGCACAGGCCUCAUUUAUAGUGGAAUUGAAGGCGUUGUCAAGAAUUAGGCCGCCUCCGCCUUCUUCCCUAUUGUUGCUAUAUUUUUUGGAUGUUUGUUUUCGAGGCUUAGAACUCCCCUUGGCAUUGCAAUUUUCUGGGAUGAUUCGAAAUGUUCUGUACAAAUUAACCUGAAAAAAAUGUCUAUGCGAACUAAACGGUUUAUAUCAUUAUAGAUAUAGUUUAUACAAAUUACCCUGCGUAAUAAAGUGUAUCCACCGAUCUUACUCUUUCUCAAUAAUAAUAAUACGAAUCCGUCGUCGUUGAUUGCAGAAUGCGGCAUGCGGCUGGCGGCGGCCGGGUACGGCGUGUUCGGGAUGGACUACGAGGGCCACGGCAAGUCCAUGGGCGCCCGCUGCUACAUCCGCAGCUUCCGCCGCCUCGUCGACGACUGCAGCCAUUUCUUCAAGUCCAUCUGCGGUGGGUGAUCAUCAGCCGUGAGCUAGAGCUAGAGCUAGGCCCUGCGAAGCUGCAUCUGCCAUUCCUGUGUUUCCUGCAUCAGAUUCACUUUCUGAAAUCCCUGAACCUGUUGGUGCGUUCAGAGCUUGAGGAGUACCGGGGCAAGAGCCGGUUCCUGUACGGCGAGUCCAUGGGCGGCGCGGUGGCGCUGCUGCUGCACAGGAAGGACCCCGCCUUCUGGGACGGCGCCGUGCUCGUCGCGCCGAUGUGCAAGGUCGGUCAGUCAGUCAGAUCCUCGUCUCAAUCUCUUCUGGUUCGUCUGCACUGCAUGAUGAGUUUGCAUGCUUGUGCUUUGCCGCCUGAACUGAAAAACUCUUGUUUUUCAGAUAUCAGAGAAGGUGAAGCCACACCCUGUGGUGAUCACGCUCCUGACGCAGGUGGAGGACGUGAUCCCAAAGUGGAAGAUCGUGCCCACCAAGCAGGACGUCAUCGACGCCGCCUUCAAGGACCCCGUCAAGCGUGAAAAGGUCAGUCCAUCGACGACUGCAUGCGGGGACUGCCUUGCUUCUUUUUUUUACAAAAACAAAAACAAAAAAAAUGGUAUUGUCUGACUGAAAGAAACGCUCUUAUGAUGCUCCUGCCAUGCCAAGCAGAUCAGGAGAAAUAAGCUGAUUUACCAGGACAAACCGCGGCUCAAGACUGCGCUAGAGAUGCUCAGGACCAGCAUGUACAUAGAAGACAGCUUGUCACAGGUACCACCAGGCUUACCAGUCUCAAUGUUGCAUUCGACGGUAAAACCUGUCUGUCAGUCACAGUCAGCAGCUCAACUCUGGUUCUGAACUUUUUUCUGAAUGUUUUUGAACAGGUGAAGCUGCCGUUCUUCGUCCUGCACGGCGAGGCCGACACGGUGACGGACCCGGAGGUGAGCCGCGCCCUGUACGAGCGCGCGGCGAGCGCCGACAAGACCAUCAAGCUCUACCCGGGGAUGUGGCACGGCCUCACCGCUGGGGAGACCGACGAGAACGUGGAGGCCGUCUUCUCCGACAUCGUCUCCUGGCUCAACCAGCGCUGCCGGAGCUGGACCAUGGAGGACCGCUUCAGGAAGCUGGUGCCAGCGCCGGCCAAGUUCAUCCAUGGUGACGACGCCGUCGACGGCAAAGCGCAGACACAAGGGCGUCCUCGGCGGCGGCGUCCGGGCCUCCUCUGCGGGCUUGCCGGCCGGACGCAUCACCAUGCAGAAAUGUGAAUACAGAAGAAUUACUGUAAUGGACCCAGGAUCAGAUGGGCGCCUGCUUCAACAAUGGCAAAUAAGGAAGUGAUGAUGUGCAAAUUUGUGAUAUACUUGGUCUUAUGCUCGACAAAGUUAUGUAUGACCAAUCAUUCCCUUCCCUCCAUUGUGGUGAACAUUUGCUCAAUCUUUUGUUCCGUUCGCAGAUGGAAACUCAUGUUCAAAUAUAUGUAAGCUUAUAGCGCUAUGACCUUGAGAUGUCAUUAGCUUUCCAGACAAUCUGUUAACAAUACAUUAGAAAAAGUACGUUGUUACAUACUAUAGCAUUACAUCCAAAUUAGGAAAGAACAGCAGUACAGCAGUGCAAGAUAUUUUCGUACUUGGUAACAAACAUUUAUAUAUUCCUAUUAUAAGAACUACGUAUGCAACCAUGACCUUUUUGUCCGUGUCGUAUAGAGCAACCAAAGAGCAUACCACCAAAACUGUCCAGAUCUUAUGCUCCCGCCCGCUUUUGUAUCAAGUGAUCAUACAAACUGAACAAACGUGUCACUUCCAACAAGUUGAGGACUAAGAAAGGCCACCAGCUGCCUCAGUGGAUUCUCCUUGGUCCCCGAAGAUACGUUUGCGGAAGUCAGUGACCAUGCGAGGAAGACCCUCACGAAGGGGAACCUUGGGCUCCCAGCCAAGGAGCUCUUUUGCGCGGCUGAUGUCAGGCUUGCGCUUGUGUGGAUCGUCUGCAGUGUUUGGACGGAACUCGAUGCGCGCCUCUGGGUCGAUGGUGUCCUGAACCACCUUAGCCAGCUCCAGCAUGGUGAAUUCUCCAGGAUUACCGAGGUUGAAUGGUCCAAUGUGAUCCCCUUCCAUGAGCUUCAUCAGCCCUUCCACCUGCGGAAAAUGUGACGCCAGUUUAGAUACCUAUAGAAUCAACAAAAUUGGAUAGUAGAACAAAUGACUGAUACUCAUCACCAAGCAUGAUUUCUGAAUAACCGGAUGUCUUAGCAAGAAAUGACUGACAAAAGGAUCUUUGGUAGAUUAUAAAUAUGCACUCCGAUCUCUGAUGAGCAAUAAAGCAUGGGAUAUAUGUAGCAUAUGGAUGUUUUCAAGGAUGCUGGUAUUUAUCAACAUGUUUGAGAUGUCAAGUGUGUAGAUAUGCCUAAGAUACUAUGCAAAUAGGAUUAAGCACUCAUAUGAUGCAAAUUGAUAUGUCAGGGCAUUUGGUAUUGGCAGGUUUGUUCAAAUGCCCCUUUAAGAGUGAUUGAGGAACCCACCAAAUCUGAUACGUAUUGAAAGCUCCUAGUCUGUUUGCCAUCGCCAUAAACUGUCAAAGGCUCCUUCCUCAGCGCCUGAAAAAUAUAAUUCAUAAUGAGCAUCUUAUUACCAAAAUAAGUGCAUAUGCAUUAAAGUGUUCAAAGAGGAGGCUGUCAACUGGUGGCUACCUGAGCAACAAAAUUACUGACAACACGACCGUCAUCAAUGCACAUGCGAGGACCAUAUGUGUUGAAGAUCCGGGCAAUCCUUACCUAAGUAAAAAAGGAAACAAUCUAACAUAAUUGUACUACAGCCACAAAAGUUAAUCUGAAUGCUAUUGAUAUCAGACAUUUGGAUGGCACAAAAACCUCAAGGUUGGCACCACGAUGGUAGUCCAUGGUUAAUGUUUCAGCUGUACGCUUGCCCUCAUCAUAGCAGCUCCUGACACCUAUCAUUAUAACAGAAGUAUUUUCAUUAAUACAAAAAUGCUUUGAGUACAUGAAAUAAAACAGUAUGUUACAAAAUACGAAAAAGGCUCCCAUUAGGAUAUGAUAUGAUCAUAUGUUCCUGUCAAGAUCAACUAUUUUCUUGGUUCUUAUCAGCUUCUUGAUUCCUCUCUCAUGCUCAUUGGUUGCACUAGUUUGGUUAAACUAAGCGGACCUAGUGUGGUUUUAUCCUAUUCUUCCUUUAUUAGGGAGGGAUCCACAUAGUGGCUGUCCUGCUUGGAACUAAUUCUACCAACCAAAAGUGUCCAGGAAAGAUCCAAAGCAUGUACGUCAACCAAAUUACAAAUCCACAAUCAACAAUUCCCAGCAUUUCUAAUUCCAGCCAAACAUCUCUUUGCCCAACAGUUCAUAGGAGCAGUAGCAUCACAACCAAUGAGCAAAUAAUAGUGCCAUCUAAUAAUGGCACGUUUAAAUAUCGUGUUCCAAAGAAAAGAAACACAAAUACUGUGUUGAUAAUCGGGUGACCAGAAUUAAAGCCAGCAAUGAGGAUAUCCCUGUACUUUCCACUAAUCUCCUAUGAUCGACUCAAUCGAUUUGUUUGAUGGAACUGUUGCAAUACAGAAUUUGCAAAAAAAAUAAUAUCAUGAAGAGGAGUACCUAUAGGGUUGACAUUGCCCCAAUAAGUUUCCACCUGAGGGUGCUGGAGGGGAUCACCAUAGACUUCACUGGUGCUUGUAAGUAGGAACCUUGCCCCAAUCCUCUUGGCCAACCCAAGCAUGUUCAGUGUCCCAACAACAUUCGUCUUGUGCCAUCUCAAAAGUUAAAGUUCACAAUAACAUUUCAAAAAGACAGAGCAAGCACUAACAAGUCAAACAGCUUUCUUAUUGGACGUUCUGACUAUCUGAGGAUCUAGUUUGGUAGCUAGGCACUUAGGCUUCACCUCCCCCAAGCUGCCAAGCACACUAGCACUAGUAGUUGGAAAAAAGAAAGACAUAUGACAGUGAAGUGAUAGAUACACAACAUUUAUUAUGAAGAAAGGCCGUGGCCUGGACCUAUAAUUUUUGCAGCUACAAUCCAAACUUUUCAACAGCUCAACUAGUCCGAAGUCUGCUUGCAUCUUUGACCUUUACUCCUAUUACAAGUUAGGAAAACAUGAAGCAAUCAUGUUCAUUAAAACUAGAAUUAGCAGGCAACCCAAUCCAAGAUCACCAGAUCCAAGAACCUUUCUUCAGAGCAAUCCAACCAUAUAAUUUUGUAUGCAGGAAGGAGAGACUGACUUCAAGUAUGAAAACCAUAUAAAAAAACUACGAACCACACAUUUCCUACGAAACAACAUAUGAAAUUCGUUCAAAUAGUCUACUUUGACCAACCCUCAUUCUAAAAUGUAUCUUUACCUUCAAAAAAUAAUCAAACCCAUAUAACAUCAGGAACAAACAAAAUUAAACCAUAAACAAAGGGUACAACAAAACAACUUAGCAAGAAUUGAGUCACAACCAUCAAUCAUCAUUAAAAUAAUAACAAUAAAACGAAAGUAAAUUUGGAUUAGCAUUCAGAUUCAGAUGAAGCAACUGAGUGAGGAUAUGAUGGUCUUGAUGGGGUUGUACUUGUAGUGCACGGGGCUGGCUGGGCAGGCAAGGUGGUAGAUCUGGUCGACCUCGAGCAGUAUGGGCUCGACGACGUCGUGGCGGAUCACCUCGAACCUGGGGUUCUGGAGAUGGUGCGCCACGUUGCCCUUGCGCCCCGUGAAGAAGUUGUCCACCACGAUCACGCUGUCGCCGCGCUCCACCAGCCGGUCCACCAGGUGGCUCCCCACGAACCCAGCGCCGCCCGUCACGAGCACCCGCAGCGCCCGCCGACGCAGCCCCAGGGGCACCUUGCCGCCGACGGACUCGCGGAAGGACGGGUGCCCGGUGACGGCAAGGUGGUUGAAUCCGACCGACGCGGCGGGCUCGGACGGCGACGAGGUGGAGGGGGAGGAGAAAGUGAAGAGGGCGGCAGCGAAGAGCAUGCCGGCGAGGGCGAAGACCGGGCGGUGCUCGGCGGCGGCGUAGCGCGCGGCGCGGGAGAGCCAGGAGAGCGGCUUGGAGGGCUUCGGGGAGUACUCUCCGCCGUUGGAGGCGGAGCCUGGCGCCGCGCUGCCGCCACGGUACGUCAGCUCCGACGCCAUCUCCGGCGAAGGGCCUGGAUGUAAAUUUCAGUUGGGGCUUUGGACCAGAUCGUGAAGUAGUAGUAUGGAGGAGUCGGCACUCGGCAUCAGCAGUGAAGAAAAAUGGCUUAUAUCGUGUGCGAUGCGAGAGGCGAACGACCUGUUCGUUGAAAAUGAUAUGAGACGUCGGAUCGGUGAUGGACGGUACACCCGGUGGGUUUGCCGGUGCCGCAAGCCACCUCGUGAGUCGUCAACGUCCACCGGCUUUCCGCUUCACCUUCACGAGUCACGACCUCACCUGCAACGAAACAGAGUUGCCAAAGAAACUGAAGUUGGAUUUCAACUAACCAAAACGUCCAAACAUGUUGUGCGAGAAUCACGGAGGUUUUUCACAUUAUUUGUGUGAGAAUGAGAAUUAAGCACCCGUACAUUAAUAUUAGGUUAGAGUAGCUCCACUAUAUCGAGAGGACUCAACUCCACUAAAGGUUAUGAAGUAAUUGUUAGUCAGCUAACAAUUUGUUAGAAUUAGCUCUAACCUAUUUAAACAUGGAGCUAAUAGAUGAGUUAAUUUGUUGCUCAAACCUUCAACUAGUUGUUAGCCAAUCUCCUGAUUUGGACUAAUUUUUAAUCCCACUAAUAACUAGCACUAACUCAUCCAAACAAACUCUAGAUACUGAUUUGUUCAAUUUCAUUCUCAAUUAAGAAAAAUCGUGCACCAAUCACUGGAAAAAAGAGCAACCAUAUCCUUUUUCCAUCCCACAUAAUAUGGAAUCUCCACACCGGCAGCCACGUUGUAGAACAUGUAAGUGCAAUCAACGUAUAAGUGAGUUUUGGUGAUGAUGGAUUGAUGGUCUAUAACUAAAGGACUAGUGGCUUUUGUAAGAUGUGAAAAGAGAACCCCCCCCCUCCCUCCCCAAAUUCAAAAGAGAUGGCUUGGAAGCCCAAAGAACGAGUUUAAGUUCAUUUUAUCUUUUCGAAUUAAAUUUAGGACAAGUCAUAUUAUAAAAGAGGAACACUAUUGGUAAGUUCGGAUAAAUCAAGUGCUCAAAAUUCUGUAUAAUAUACAAAAUAAAGACGCCUACACAUGGACCUAGUGGUGUUCAGAGUCUAUAAAAUGGCAUAUCUCAAAUGAACUACGAAUAGUAAUGGCACUGUUCCAAUAUGACAAAUAGUGAUGGUAGUUUGCAAAAGUUAUAAUGAUAUGGUUCCAAUUAACGAAUGAGAACCCUCUGAAUUUUUGAACUUAUCUCAAAUCUCAACCAUUCUAGAAAAAACUAACAUAGAGGAAGCUUAAUUCAAGCACCAUCUCAAAUCACAUGUUGAAGAUAACAUUAGUUGACUAUCCUAUAUACUUAGAAUUUCUUUGAAGUUUAAGCUGAAGUCCUAGGAUUUGUAUAACAUAUACUAUAACUAUUGAGUAUUAAAAAAUUCAUAAAUAAAAAAGGUCUUGUAGUUACAAUUUUAGGGAUUUGAUUUCUAGGUUCAUUCUUAGAGCAUCUCCACCGUAUAUCCUAUCCAAUUUCUUAUAUACAAAAAGAAGUAUUUUAGAAGAUGGAAGUGUUGCAACAGAUUUCGUAUCUCAUCUUCUAAAUAUACCUAUAAUCUCGACGAAAUCUCCUAAAAAAAACCUUCUCUCUCCUAAGUAAAGGAGACAACCAUCUGCCCUGCACCCAACUUAUAGAAGAUACAAUAUAUGAGAUCUGAUGGAGAUGCUCUUACAUAUGAAGACAUUAAUUGUGAUUUGAAUCUGAUGUCAAAUGCACGUUGCAAAACGUUUCAGUGUUUCAUUAGGAGACAACCCCUCUGCCUUCUCACGUCAUUAAACUUUAGCUCUAUCACAUCGGAUGUUUGGACACAUGCAUAAAAUAUUAAAUAUAGAUUAUUUAUGAAACUAAAACACAACUAAAGAAUAAUUUGCGAGAUGAUUUUUUAAAGCCUAAUUAGUUCACGAUUGAACACCAAUUGUUAUAGUUACAAAAAUACUACAGGCCCGUACCAAACACCCUGCAGAAGAUACAAUAAUGUGUUCUCUAGUUAAUUUCUGAAUCCGAUUUUGAACUCUCGGACGCUUUUAUCGUGCAAAAAGCUUGAUAGCUUUUGCUCUCUUCGGUUGAAAUGAAAUGCUGGUUCCUUGCGUUUAUCUGCUCAAUCUGCCAGCGAACAGAGCAGGACCGUGUCAUCACCGUGAUCUUUGUUUUUUGUUUCACACAGGUGUACUUGAUUGCACUGACUUGACAUGCUCAUGCACAAUGGAGAGGAACAGCCAAGGAGCGAAUCUAAUCAACUUUCUGAAUUUUCGGAGAACAAUACAAGUUCACAAGCAACUUGUUCACCCAAUCAGUUCAAGUUUAUUUCAAUGCGUCGAGCACACAAGAUCCGAGGUCACUAUUAUUUAUUUUAUAUAGUAUAAACUAAUUGUCCUUACUACCGUUGAAUCUGUUGAUCUUGAAGUGGCCGAGUUCCACGCCGGCCUCCGCUGCCGUCUUCGCCUCGCCGUCGAUGGCCAUCUCAGCCAGGAUCCUCCCCACCGCCGGCCCCAUCUUGAAGCCGUGGCCAGAGAAGCCGGCCCCGACCACCACGUCCUCCCCGAACGCCCCACCCAGCCAGUCGAUGACGAAGUCCUUGUCUGGCGUCAUGGAGCAUAUGCACGACUGCCGGACGACCGGCCCGCCGGCGGAGUCCACGUGGCCCGGCAUGAACUCCGCGAUCCACCUAGCCACGCGGUCGGUGAUCUCCCUGUCGCCGGAGGCCCAGUCGCGGUUGUCCGGGUCGCACGGCGGCCCGCCGUCGCAGCUGAUCUUGAUGAGGCCCGGGAGCUCAAGCGACGGCGUGCCGUAGACGGGCGUGUCGCCGUAGCUGGAGAAGGUCGGGAAGCCAGCCUUGGCAUUCAGGCCGCGCUCGCGGCCGGGCUUGAUGCGCCAGUAGAGGGUCAACGUGUGCAGCGGCUGGAUGGGGAUCUCCACGCCGGCGACGGACCUGAGAAGCUUGGUCGUCCAGGCGCCCACCGUCACGACGCACUUGGCGCCGCGGAACUCCUCGCCGGCGCUCGUCGUCACCACGACGCCUCCCUGCGAGCCCGGCGCCUUGCCGAUGUCCACGACCUCGGCGUUGUCCCUGACCACGGCGCCCAUCUUGACGGCGAGCGCCUGGAACAUGGCCACGGCCUUGGUCGCGUUCAGCACGCCGCCGCCGCGCUCGCUCACCGCGGUCACCCACCCUUCCGCCGGUGCCUGGAACGCGCCUCCCCACAACUGGCUUGUGUCCACCUCCUCCGCGCCGGCGCUCUUGACGGCGGCGAGGAGCGCGGCGUUGCCGCGCGGGCCCAUGGAGAGGUGCGGGGCAGGGGUGAGCACGCGGUACCCGGACUCCGCCUCGGCGUCCGCCCACAGGCGGCGGGCGAGGCGCACCAUGGGUGGGUACUGCGCCUUCACGUAGGCGUCGCGGAUGAUGCGGGAGUCGCCGUGCGAGGAGCCGAGCUGGUGGAGCAGGUCGAAGCGCUCCAGGAGCAGGGUGCGCGCCCCGCGGGACGCCGCCGCGUGCGCCGCGCAGCUUCCCAUGAUGCCCGCGCCCACCACGAUGACAUCGUAGUCCAGGCGGAGGCCCGCGGCAGCGGCUGCGGCGGCGUCAUGAGCAUGAGCUUCGGCGGGGGCAGCCAUGACCACGAGGCGGCGGCGGAUGACACUCGACAGUCGACACUGGCCACUGGGUUUCCGUGUCCUUAUGCGGAUGAUUUUAUACAGAGAGAGUAGUAUUACGGGUCGAAGGCAGUGUGAAAACAGAUUCUUUGCAGAGGCCGAAGUUUGUUAUGCUCAUAAUUAUGGAUGCAAAACGAUCUAAAUGGUUAGAAAUCGAAUUUUUGGAUAAACAUGCACAAAUGGCAUGAGCAUAGACGAUUCUCAUAUUUGCACUAUGAAAAAUAUAGAGUCUUCGAUUGUCUGAUCGACCAGUGUACUAGAGGAUAAAUCUGGUGUAGUGGAUUACUUAUAUAGCGAAUAUCAGGGCAAAUUUGGAGCUGUUUACUAGAAUUAUAUUCAUUCAAAAAAAGAAUCCCUGGCCCCCCAUUUGUCGGUUCGCCAGUAAGGUGCAGAUGCGUGGAUCCAUGGCGUCUUCAGAAAUCAAAAUGCAAUUACAGAGCAGCAGGAACAACGAACUAGAGCUAGCCAACCUGUGUGUGGCCCGGGGCAAUGGUGAGCCGCUCAGAAGUCAGAAUCCACAUGGCCAACAACAAAGCAUGGCAAAACCGUAAAAGGAGCAUCAGAUUAGAGUGUCCUUUUUUUAACAAGAACAUUUAUAUUAUAUUAAAACAACAAUCAAAUUACAUAAAAGGUCCUCAAAAGAAGACCUGAUUACAACAAAAUCCUCCAUCUUCAUUUGGACCGAGAGACAGCAUUGUCACCGACAGAGAGGACAUGGACACCGGCGGAGGGUCGUAGGGGCAUCGAGACACAUACACCCAGGUGGACGGACUACACAAAGCGUCAGUUGUAGUUGGCAUGGUUGAGCCAGCAGAGUUGACAUACACUAGCGACCGAAGAAUGAAAAUGGGCCCGUCAUCGGAGGUUGAAGAUGAAGCUCGAACCAGGAUCCCAGAUGGUGGCGACGCAGGCGAACCAACACCAGAGGAGGAGUUGCCUACCUGAAGAAAGCCUAAGGACCAGAGGCUGCUAUUUGGAGAAGGAAGCGGGCGGUGGCGAUAAAAGUAGGGCUGGGUGGAGUAGAUCUCAACGGCGGCGUGAUGAUGUUGAAGUUGUGGCGGGGAUGGAGUGGAGAUCUGCUAGAGAGGAAUUUAUUUUAUUACCACGACGGCGCAGCUCCGGCGACAAUAAGACGGGCGAAAACCAUAAAGGAACACAGGUACUGAGGCUACUCGAUCUCGUAAGUGUGAAGUACUCCCCAGCAAUCGUUACAGAACGUUAGCAAGUUCAGCCUGACAAGUUAUGCGGUGAAGGCUUAGAGAUGCAGACGGAGCCAAGUUGCAAUUACAUGGCAUAAUUUUCUCCUAUUCGAUGGAUGCAGGUGCAGAUGCAGCACAACAAGACAAUUGUUAAUAUGGCAUCCGAGAAGACAAGCGCACGAGCAACCAACCAAUGACGACCAUGAGAGUCGGAAUUCUUUUUACUGACGAGGCAGGCGAGGCGAGGCAUCAUGUAUUGUAUUGGAUUGGAUGGCGAAUUGGCCCACCAACUUGUGCGUGCGGCUAGAGAGACGUUGCAGAUCAGCCAAUGCCACUCGCUGUUCUAUAUGACUAUUUUGCAUUUGAGAUUGACUCGACGACGGCAUUAUUUAUCAGAUAAGAAUGUAUAUAUGGGUUGUAUAGAUAGCAAAGUUGGAUUUAUAAAGAAAUUGCCCAUUAGGGAAUGCUUUUGCUGAUAAGCGUUACCGUUCCGGGCAAAAGGAAGGAUGAUCGAUGACCAUAUUCCCUUUUUCUUGAGCGCGAAAGAGAUUGAUUGCUACAGUACUGAUCCUAAGUCCUUUAUUUCUCAGCUUGCAUACAGACGCGAUGAAAACAAGGCUGGCUGUUUGGAAAGUUCCGUCAGAUGAAUCGCCACACAGCAACCUGCUCUCGUUUGGGCCGUGCCGCCGUGCCGAGUGGGCGAGUGGCAACCAUCGCAGCACUACAAAUAUCGGAUCUCUGGAACCGAAAGUGAUGUACAUGCAUCAUCUAGAGUAGUUGUUGACGUCUUGACGAUUGUGAAUUAGCGAUGUUCAUUCAUGUUCUCGAUAAGCUGUGUCGUGUCUGUCAAUCUUUCUUGCCUGAAUUGUGAACGAUGCCACAGAUCGUGUGCGAAUCACAUUGAGCCUCACUCCUCACUCCUCAGUCAUUACAGCUAGUUGAUUGAGAUUUGAGAACACGACUGGACUGACUGUGAGAAACAGUUGUUCAUCACUAGUACUUUUUUUACCGUACUCUUGUCCACCAACUCUUUAGAGCCCAAAACUGAACUAAGGCCUUGUUUAGUUCCGAAAACUGAAAAAUUUUCGGAACUGUAGCACUUUCGUUUUUAUUUGACAAACAUUAUCCAAUCAUGGAGUAACUAGGCUUAAAAGAUUCAUCUCGUGAUUUACAGAUAAACUGUGUAAUUAGUUUUUAUUUUCGUCUAUAUUUAAUACUCCAUACAUAUGGCGUAAGAUUCGAUGUGACGGGAAAUCUUGAAAAGAUUUUGGUUUUUAGAGUGAACUAAACAAGGCCUAAAGUCCUCUAAAGUUUUAGAGUAGGGGAUACAAACAAGCCCUUGAUCUGGCUACUAUCGAUUUCCUCUAGACUUUCCGGACUCUUCCUAGAUUGUUUUGCUGCAUUAUUAUUGGUUAUAUAUGAUUUUUUAUUUAUUUCUUUUUUUUUAAAAAAAACGGCAAUGACUGUCAUGUGUCGUCCAAGCAAGCGGCACCGCCAGCCCAUCGGAAAAUUACAUGGCCACCUCGUCUCCAUCCUUGGAGCCGCCGAUUUCAAGGCAGCUGACCGCGCCACCACUGAAAUCCGUCCCUCCCGUAAUGCCACCUACGGCCUACCGGUCAGUCGGUCACAGUCACAGCCCUCUUAAGCAAUGUCCCUUUCUUUAGCAUUGCAAAUUUGUAACCGUGUUUGGGAAGUCUAUAGUUAUUUAGUUAAUUGUUUUCUUGUCCAGUGAUCUGUAGUAGCCUAAAAGUUCAGUCUAUGUUCAGAUAGUUUCAGUACAACAGCUUGUCUUGUUUUUCAUCUUGUGCAUCAUCACUUUCAGAUGCAAAUGGUUCACUACUAAAGCAAUGGAUAGGCAUUUAUUUGAACAUUAAUUUAUUAUUUUUUUGCUUGAUCAUGUGUACACAGAUGUGUGCUCAGGUCUUGACAGUUUUGAAGCUUGUGUUAGAAGCUCUGUUAAAAUUGGCUGGGGUUUCUAUCUGUAGCUUGCAGACAAUUGGCCAUAGCUCACACUUAGACCACAAGUGUUCAGAGAGUUUUCUCGCGCUAUUUUAAGGUUGCCAAAAGUUUGCUUCUGUGUUGUUUUGAAAUAGGCCUAAUCACACGAGCCAUGUGUUGGCUUGUGUGAAUUUAACGAAAAUAAGUGCAUUAGAGCAAAUAAUUUUAUAGGUUCCCUCUCUCUCUCUCUCUCUCUCUCUCUCUCUCUCUCUCUCUCCUCAUUUGUUGAAUCCUUCAUAUUCUGAUUAUAGAAGAAAAAGCAUAAGCAUUGAGGCUACGUAUAGGAUUCUUCAUCAUUCCAAGCCUUUAAAUUGGGAAAAAGCUGCAGAUAAAAAUGCUAUUACCUGUCCAAAUUAGCAGUAUUAGAAAAAGAGGGAGCAAACAACGUAUCUCAUCUUGGCCAGUUGUCGCGCAAUGGAGAGUGCACCACUACACCACAACUGCGCAAUUGUGUUGCACCAUUGUCUACUCUAGAGAGAUCCAUUGUAUUGCAACGGUGUAUACAGUACAAAAACUACAAUAGUGGUUGCAUGGUCUUCACAGCCUCUCUACCGCUGCACCUGGCUUUUCAAGCGCAAUUCAUAUGUUUCUAUGAAUUGAUUUUUUUUUUCCAGCUUCCUGCCACACUCGUUACAGUUCGUUGGAUACUGUAUGCACUUUGCUAUGAGCUUGAAUUGGCCUGGUUGUCUGAAAUAUAAAAAUAAUUUACAUCCCCAUAAAUUGGUACCAUGGAACAUGGAUAUAUGGUAGAUCCGUUCAGAGGCGAAUCCUGCAUGAUGUUGCCAAUAGCAUUGGUGAUUGGUUCUAACUUCAAUGUUUCAAAAAAAAAAUAGUUUGGUUCCGUUCAUUUAAGCUUAUCUGCCAAAUUUGUCCGCUAUUCAACAAUAUUUUUCUCUUACAAUAAAUCAGCAAACAAUAUUUUCUGUUUGCCACGGCUUUUCUGCCAACUUGCAUUAUUUCUCUCCACCACAAUUUUUCACUGAGGCCUUGUUUAGUUCCGAAAAGAUUUCGGAUUUCGGUACUGUAGCACUUUCGUUUGUUUGUGGUAAAUAUUAUCUAAUCAUAGACUAACUAGGCUCAAAAGAUUCAUCUCGCGAUUUACAGACAAAUUGUGUAAUUAGUUUUUAUUUUCAUCUAUAUCUAAUGCGUCAUGUAUGUGCCCAAAGAUUCGAUGUGACAGGAAAUCUUGAAAAGUUUUUGGAUUUCGAGGUGAACUAAACAAGACCUGAAAAGAUCUUGAGGAAAGUACUGGCACUCAUGGUUGAGUACUUAGAGAUUCCAGCAUUGAAGUCCCGUGAUAUUGCAAAAUCGACGCUUACACAACACAUACCAUAUCCAUGAACGACCUUACUAAUCCUCCUUGGAGGCAUUCCCCAAGGGGUUACUCUCGAACCGGUUGAUCCUGAAGUGACCGAGCUCCACGCCGGCCUCCGCCGCAGUCCUCGUCUCGCCGUCCAAAGCCAUCUCUGCCAGGAUCAUCCCUACCGCCGGACCCAUCUUGAAGCCAUGCCCGGAAAACCCAGCCCCGACCACCACGUCCUGCCCGAACUCCCCGCCGAGGAAGUCGAUCACGAAGUCCUCGUCUGGCGUCAUGGAGUACAUGCACGCCAGCCGGUCGACCGGCCCGCCCGCGGUCUCCACGUGUCCAGGCAUGAACUCGUCAAUCCAGCGGGCCACCCGCUCCACGACGUCGCCGCCGCCAGAGACCAGGUCCGGGUCGCACGGUGGUCCGCCGUGAUAGUUGAUCUUGAUCAUGCCCGGGCGCUCCAGCGACGGCAUACUGUACACGUACAGCGGGUCGCAGUAGCUCGAGAACGUGGGGAAGCCGGACUCCGCCGUCAGCUCUCCCUCUCGGCCGGGCUCGAUGCGCCAGUACAGGACCAGCGUGUGCAGCGGCUGGAUGGGGAGCGGGAGCUCCACACCGGCGGCGGACUUGAUGAGCCUGCUGGUCCACGCGCCCACCGUGACGACGCACUUCGCGCUGUGGAACUCCUCGCCGGUGCUCGUCCUCACCGCGAUGCCUCCCUCCGGUCUCUUCAGGAUCUCGACGACCUCCGCGUUGUCCCUCACCAUAGCACCCUUGUGGACGGCGAGAUCCUGGAACAUUUUGACAGCCUCGGUCGUGUGCAGCACGCCGGAGCCGUGGUCGCUCACCGCGGCAACCCACCCAUCAGGGAGCCGGAACGCGCCUCCCCACCUCGCGGACACAUCGUCCACCUCCUCCGCACCGGCGUUUCUGGCGGCGGCGAGGACCGAGGCGUUGCUGCGCGGGCCCAUCAAGAGCAGCGGAAUCGCGGUGAGUACGCGGUGGCCGGACUCGGCCUCAGCGUCCGCCCAGAGGCGGCCGGGGAGGCGCACCAUCGGCGGGUACCACGCGUCCGGGUAGGCGUCGCGGAAGGUGCGCGACUCGCCGUGCGAGGAGCCCAGGCCGUGCAGCAGGUCGAAGCGCUCCAGGAGCAAGACGCGCGCGCCUCGGGACGCCGCCGCGUGUGCCGUGCAGCUACCCAUGAUGCCGGCGCCCAGGACUAUCAAGUCGAAGUCGAAACAGCGGGCAGCGGCGGCGGCCACGGGAGGUGUGGGAUUGUCCAUGAUUCUCAGAUUUUGGCCAGGAAGAGAAGGCCGGAGGCGGCGGCGGCGGCGGCGGCGACGGCUCUGACUUGGGGGCGUCGGCGUGCGUGCAGUCGCUCUGCCACUGUAGCAUCCACCCUUCGGCGUAUAUCCAACGAUUGCGCCUUUGCGGGCCUUCGAGCAGCACAAGUUGGCCCAACAGCGUGGAGGCUGGAAACGCAGCUUCUAACGACGCUCCCAACCUAGAAACUACAUAGACCUAUUAAUUUUUAUAGAUAAUAUAUAUAGAAACUAUAGUUCCAAUGGACAGUUUCUAUAGAAUAUCUUUUUAUCUAAUCAUAUUCAUUCUCUUUCUAUUCUUAACCAAUCAUAUCACUUCAUGUCUUCGAUUUUGUGUAGACAUAGUUUCUAACUUAGACCCAGUUUUUAUGAUUUUUACUCUCUCUCUUCAAUAACUACAAUACCACAUCAGCAAUAUGCUUAGGUGACACUACAAUUAAUGUCUACUAGUAUAUUGCCCGUGCUAAUACCACGGUUAGAUCUAGAAAAAAUCUUUAAACUAAAAUAAAUAGUCUCUUCAUGCUCUUCUGGUUUCGACGAGCGGUAAAACAUAUGUACCCUUUGGACUUCAAAACUAACUACUAAAGCCCUCAUUGUCAUAAUCUUCUAGUAAAACCAUAAAGUUUCAGCACCAAUUGAUCCAUAUAAGAUGUAAAGAUCUUAUAACAUUAAUAAAUCUCCAAUAGAAACAUUGAUAAUCACAUAUUUUUUAAAACAAACAGAAUACAAUAUACAAUAAAAAAAUUUGAGAAUACAAAGAGCAAACUAAUAUAAAGGAAAAUAUUGGGAAAGAAAUAAAGUGCAACGUUAAGAAAAUAUCCCAUCAGAUGCACAUGGAGAUCAAACCAUGUUGGAACUGGCACCGCGACCACAACAGGCGGUGCAUUAUCUGUGCCCAACGGUAAACAUUUUGUUAUUAUAUUGUAAAACAUACCUUAAUUUCAAUAUUCUCUACUAAUAUAUAUAUAUAUAUGUCUAGCAUACAGACAUUGCUAAUAUGAAGAGGGAUGAAAGGAGUGCACAACAACGGAAACAAAGAGCUAAGUUGACCGAUGAACAAAGGGAAGCGAAUAAAAGGAGUCAACGAGAGUACCAACGUCAGUACCGAGCACGGAAGAAGGUUAGUAUGCAAAAUAUUAGCACAGCAGGUGAGAAUAUCUAUAGCUUAUGCAUUUCCUUAUCUAUGUGAGAUAUCUUGAACCGUUGUUCAUCUAAGUCUUAUAAUUGUAUAAUUCAUCAAUCUCUACUCUAAUAUAUACAAUUGUAUAAUUAAUCAAAAAAUUAUAAAUUUUGCAAACUGGAAAGUCCAUGACUCACUUUGGACGAGAUCCGCGAUGUUGUGACAAGCUAGACAACAAAAACACUCGCAAAAGUACUUGAGUGUUGGCCUGAUAUGGAGUACAAAAUUAAAGAUUGCUGCAAUGUAAGAUAUGUUCAUUGUACUCCUUUAAAAACUUAUUAUAUUUUAUUUAUCAGUUAUAGUUUGUGUAUUUUUUUAGAUUCUACUACCAUAUUAUCGAGAUGGCCUAUACACUUUAUUCAUAAUGAACAUGCAAAACAAAACUGUGCAAAACAAAAUUCAGAGAGCAGAUAAAAAAUCAUGUUUACACCAAUAACAAAAGAAAUUUAUGCUGACAUAAUCAAUGUAAAAAUUAAUUACAAUAUGAGACUCUAAGAGAAAGACAUGACUUAAAAUAACACAUGAACAAGAAAAACAUGCUGACUGGAUAAUUCUCUAAACACCAAGCGUGGACAUUUAUCUGCAUUUUACUUGAAAUCUAGACAAUGAACAAAGCGGAUUUCUAACAUAGAAGCAAAGAAGAAAGGAAAGGACCAGAUCAAAUGAGAGAUGGAUCCGAUGGCCACAAAUCCAGGUGACAAAAAAGAAAAAAUUACCCAGACUACAUACAGAUUUACCGUAUUAAAUAGACUUUCAAGUUCCAUCCAUUCUUAGAGAGUGCUACCAUAUCCAUAGAAAAUAACUGGACUAAAUUCUCCUGCUAAGCGAAGAUAAGGCAUCCUAUUGAAUCUCCCGAAGAGGCCCGUUGAAGAAGACAUGCUUCCCAAAUCUCAUACACGGAGCUAUAGCCCCACUAGUGCAAUGUCAACAGCUACCCUGACCAGAAGGUGAGCAGCGUACAACUCAAACUCUGCCCAGAAAUCCUCUUCCAUCUUCUGCAUCUCUGCAAAUGAGUCGAUUACAAUUUGCAUUGAACCGGGAACGCAAUUACCAACAAGGCAACAACUCUAGAGCAGAUGAGACACAGAUUUGAAUCGUUGGCGCCCAUGCAUGGGCAUGGUUCUGGUUCAUGCCAGAUGGGAAGAGGAUCGAAGCUGUCACUGUGAACCCUCAUGCUCCAGACCCUCUCCGCAAGCACCGGCGCCAAUUGAGCCCGCAACUUUCUUUCAAAAAAUACAGCCCGUAGGUCCGCAACCGGUACAGGCUCAUGCUGUAUCCACUUCAUCUCCGCCGGCACAAGCGCCGAUGCAGCCCAUGACCAUGGCGGGGCCCGCGUGCCCAUCCUCAUCGACCCCAGUAUAGUUGAAAACGGACGGAAACGAACGGAAAAUCGCUCUACUGUUUUCAUUUUUAUAUUUUUAGACGAAAACGGGAGCGGAAGCCGGAUAGCCGGGAGCGAAAACGGUAGCGGGAUAAACGGUAAUACGAAAACGGGUAAAUACGAUCGAAAAAUAAACGGAAACGAGCGGUAAACGAAAAUUAAGCCGGAACAUGUAAGCCGCAUAUGAGAGCUCAAAUAUGAAUUAUCCAUACAUCACAUGCUCAUAAGUCACAAGUUUAUAACAAAAUACAACAAGUGUUCACAAAUAGAGAUUGAAGUAGUCCACCAGUGCUCAUACAACAUGUUUAUUUAAUGGUUCACCAACAGCGGAAAGCACACACAACACUACGACACAUCAGUUUUUCACAGCACACCAUCUUCAUUCAUUGCAACCGGAACUGGAGCAACCACGGUCUUCAUUCAAGGCGAAGAUAGCUCGACAGGCCCAGGUGCUUUUCAGGUGGCUUGGAGCAACCACGGUCUUCUCCUCCAGCCCGCGACAUCAGCCAGCAGCUCGCGGUCGUGCUCUGCGGUGCUCUGCAGCUCGCGAACGACCAAGCUCGCGGUGCUCUGCGCGUCUACGCGUGGGCGCGUGUGCCUGUGCUGUGCCUCCCUCGAUGCAACGCCGCGGCCAGGGGAUGGGAGGAGGACUGGUCACCGGUGCAGGCGAGCAGCAGGCGCGCGGCAAGGGAACGGGAGGGAGGCCUGGACGCGGGACGCCUGGUGGUGCAGGUGCGGCGGGCGGCGGCCGACUGCUGCGACCUGCGAGAAGGGAGCGGAGCGGGCGAGCGGCGGCCAGGGGAGUCGACUGGGGUGCUCACUGCUCAGGACUCAGGAGGAUUGAACAGAUAGGGUUUGGUAUUUUGGGCUGUAUUGGGCUCAUGGGCUAUGCUGGGCUAGUUUUCCGGUUUUAUUACAAACGGGAUAAAAACGGGAUAUCCCGGUUAAAUACGGUAUUCCGUAAAUACGGACGGAAAAAUGCGUUACCGUUUUCGAUCCCGCUCCCGUUUCACUCCAUCCCGUUUUCGGUCCCGUUUCCGUUUAUCCCGUAAAAAACGAAAACGAACGGAAAAAUACGGUAUACGGAAGCGGACGGAACGGGAUUUCUCACGUCCGUUUUCAACUUUAGACCCCAGCUUUGGCCGACCAGUCACGGUUCUCAGCCAGUCGGUAGGAUCUUUGGCGUCCGACGCGGACUUCACUGCGUCCCGCUCGUUGGCGGCGUCGGCGUAGGUUUGUGCACGAUCAUAUGUCUAGUUUUUUUUUGUUUUAUUUUUUGGAGGUAGCAGGGUUCGAACCUGAGCAUUGGCAGGUGGAUUUGGGCAUUUUCGGAGGCCGCAGAGGCUGCACGUUGAAGCCUGGGGAUGCAGUGCGUUGAAGCCUGGGAUUUGAUACAAACAACUGUGGCCAUAGGAUUGGGUUGAAGCCUCUCAUGGAUGAUUUGUAGCCUUUGAUUUUAAUAAAAACAAUUUGUUAUGUGCAUUUUUUUGGGUACACAAAGAUUAAAUGUUCUCACUGGGGACACUUUCUUUGGUGAACCUAGUAUAAUUUUGAUUGGUCCAUUAUAGUAGAGAUAGAAACUACGAUGGUUUCUGUAUUAAGAGUGCCCUAAUAUUGUGUUGUGGCCCACAUCCACAUGAAUGAGCCGGGUGACAGAGAAAUCUACCCACGUAUAUUCAGUUACCAUUUUAUGUCCCUCUGUCUCUUUAUAACUUCUAUUUCAAAUUUUACUUGGACAUUUCUUUGGGAGGAUUAGGUGUAUGGCCCUAGAAAAAACAGACAAAAAGCUAAAGCCGAAUAAAUUUUGUUUUGAGGCCAUAGAGCCAAAUUCAAAAAAAAGAGAGUCAUAUACCUAAGACAAAAUUUUUCCAAGGUCAUACACCUAAUUCUCUCCAUUUCUUUUGUUAUGUUGGUAAUUUUUAGUAUAAACUCACAACAUUUUUCUUGUUAAGCUAUAAUGUUUUUCUCAAAGUCUAGAACAAUUUUUUGAGCAGAGAGUUUCUUCGUCCUUCAUAACUUAUAAUCCUUCAAUAGGGAUCCGACAGACCUAAUCUCUCUCAUGUCCGUAUAAGUUAGAGUAUCAUGUCUAAGCAUGGUAUUAGAGUCUAAUCCCAAAACAAAUUGAAAUAUAACAUUUUCAUGGUCUGCCACUCAAUAAUGUGCGUGUACAAGGUUUACCCAUGACGAGGAAUCUAGCUCCAUAACCAAUUGCAAAGCAUGACAUAACCAUUGAUAAAUCUCUAGAGACAAAUUAAAAUGCAUGACAUAAUCACUGAAUAAAUUUCUAAACUGUAUGGCAUACAAGUGGGCGUGCAACAUGUUGAACGUUCCUUGUAGGAAAACACAAAGAACACCUGUAAUCAAUUCCAGCAUUAACAGCUGCGUCUAAGUGCUGCUAUGCAUUAGAUACAUAUAUGUAUCUAGAAAAGCUAGAACAACUUACAAUUUGAAACAACGAGAGUACCUGACUGAUGCCUAGUAAAGAUCACAGACAACUCAAAAUGAAGAACGAUAGACUAGCACUAACUGCAUGUUAACAAAUGUACCAACAAACAAGAAGACACAUAUGUUCUUAGCACAUUGCCAUAUUCGUUACUCUUUUUCAUUGAUAAAUUCAUAGAAAAUUCUCGCCCAGAAACUAGAGAAUUACAACCAGAAAACAUCUGUGUGCCCACUAAAACAAAAAAUCACCGGUAACCAGUUGCCUGCUCUAUUAGCGAACAACAAAGACAGGCUAUCCGUUAACUGUUGCUGGUAGUGAAGGAACACUACAACAUACACACUUCACCACUUACAACGGUGAUGGCUCUUUUGCUCCCCAAAGUUACUGUCACCAACGAUUCUCAUUUUGUUCAUAUCUGCAAAGGACGGGAAAAGAACCAUCAGCAAAGCUAGGAGCACACAGAUAAAGAGCAUACAUUGCAACAUAAGAAUACCAUCCAAGAACAGUUUCCGGAAGUGGUAGCUGCAGGAAAUCAAUACUAGGGCCACGAGUUCAUGAUGGAAUAAUCACAGUUCACCAAACAACCACCAGUUUUAGUAAUAAAAACUAUCUUCAAUAAAUUGAGUGCAGCAAACAUAAAGACUGCCCAUCCAUCAAGUUCACACAGAAUAGAACCACUUGAUGGUAAUGAAGUUAACGUAUGACAAGUUAAUCUUUGCAAAAGGACAAUAUUUCUAAUUCUGAAAAUAUGGUAAAAAAGACACCCCUUAAAUCCUAAAUCAAGAACUAAUGUGUCAGCAUUGCUGUUUUGCUAGGUGUAGACAACACCCAUCAGACAAAGAGUCGUUGCCGGACAGACUAUAGAACUCUCUUCGCGUGGGCUACAGACCAAGAGGCUGCAGCAGGCCACUAUAAGGAACCCGUGAGUCUAUGGGCCGGACUGGAAGAACCCUUAAGGAGCCAUCAUCGAAUAGCUUAGCCUUUUCCAUAUAUAUAUAUAUAUAUAUAUAUAUAUAUAUAUAUAUAUAUAUAAGAUAGGAUAUGAAAUCUUGUAACAAACUAUCUUUGAACUCUAAUAGCAGACCUCGUCUUACAUAGCCUCUUCCUACUAUUCUUUCCCUAUUCCGAAUUUAUGAUUCCAUGCUAUCAUGCCUAACAUAAUGUACCUAUUUUUAUUUUUUAAUUCCUACUCUAUUGUACAAGCACAUUGAGUUACAAAGCUAUAUGCAAUAAGAUAUUAGACAUGCAUGGAACACCAAUAUUUGACAUUGUAAAAAAAAGGUGUUACAGCUACCCUUCCAAGUCUGGAGGUACUACAGUUGUAUAGCAAUAGCCAGUACACUCAUGGGUAAUGCUACCUCAUAACGUUGGGCUGCACAAUAUCAUAUCAAAAUCACAUAUAUGAGGACCUGGCCUAUGCACAGUUGUGGAAGAGUUGCUCCUUACUUGUUUCCUCAAAAUAAACUAGGAACACAUGGAAAAUUAAAUAUGUUACCUGAAAGGGAGGUCAAAUUUGAUUGUUAUGGCUUCCAAAUGUAAACAAGAUGUGGCAUUAUCGUUCACUUGGCAAUCAAGAACUAGCUAAGCUAGCGAACAAUGGAUCAGAAACAUAGUAAAGGGGAGGCUAAAUAAUGAAAGGCCAACAAUCUUAGUAGCAUUAAACCAAAUAGUAUAAUAGAUGUAACAAGGAACAAAACCAAUAUUAAUCUAAAAUGAUCAAGCAACAUUUAUUAGAACACCUUUGUGGGUAGGAAAAUACCAAAACGAUUUAAUGCAACCUCAGUUACUCGAUGCAUGAAAUUGCUCUCUUAUCGACUUCCCAGAAUUUAUUCCAUUCUAGAACAUAUUUGAACAAAUCUUGCUAAGAAAAUUGAAGACUCGAGGAACAUUCCCAAACCCCUAACACCGCACAAGGGAGAGAAGUUGCAGCUCCCAAGCCAAAAAUUCUAGAGCUCCUAAUUCCUAGAAUGAAACAACAGAAUAACUUGGAAGUGAGUAGCAGAACCUCGCCGCAGAUAAUAAAAGGAUAUGCUGGAGCCCUAAGCCCUUGUCCUAUGACAACAUGUCAAAGCCAGUGCAUGUGACUUGAAGGCUGUAGCCAUGGGCAAAGGCAGGUAUUUAGAAAGCUUUGGUAGCUGCAAUACCUACAGUUUGUACAAAAUACAAAAUAUAUGUAUUAUAUACUAGUAAAUAUACAUGAAAUACAUAUGUCAAUAUGUUAUACAAGUUAUAUUUGGUUCUUAUAAAUCCCGCCACACCUAAAAGUAUUCCUGCCUCUGCCACUAGCUGUAGCUGAAAGCCAGAGGCCUCAUUGGGGCCUUAUCAUUGUGGUUCUAUCUGUAGGGCGAUAUGGUGCCUCACCUAGCGGUAUCUCACUGGGUGGGAUCUAUGAGCAAGGGCACUACUGGCCACAACACGAAAAAAGAAGCGCCUACAAUGGUCAAGACAAAUCAAAGCACCAAGAGUUGACAUAAGCCUUUAUCUCGACAAACUAAGCUAGGGCUGGGCCUCCUUCGAUGGCCUAACACUACAUAGGUAUAUUAAGUUCUGCUUUGACUCGACCCGAGCUACAGCCACCCCCACCACACACACAGAACCAUCCCCAACCCAGGACCUAUAGUCACCCCUGAAGCUGCCUCCCUUCCUCAGCCAUGUGCUUGGACUUUGCUGUGCUACCACCAUAGCACCACCCGAGCCGGUGGUCUAGACUUCAAACCACAAAAUUUUAGACAAUUAACCUAUCAGAUCUUUGGCGUGUGCAAUAACUAGGUCCAUUUCUUUUGAAAGUUUCAUGGUUUAGCAGUCUCAGCAAAGGUUGUGUUUCCAAAACUAAAUAAGUGGACAAAUAAAACAAAUGGAUCCAUGAGGAUUCAAACUGAAACAUGAAACCAGACUUUAUGACAUACUAUUCUUUCAGAUGAAUCUACCAUGAACAAUACUUACCCUAAGCCCAUUCGCUAAAUGUUAAAUGCAAAAAAAUAGUAGAUGAUAUGUUGAACUUUAAAAUGUAAAUGAGAUUCCAUGUAUACCAAAGCUAAAUCUUGAAAUAAAUGGAAACAUUAUAAAAAGGUAUCAACAAAAAGACACCAAAGAUAAGAAAGCCGUAUUAAAAUUAAACAUAUUGCAAAACAAAAUAUUUGGUCAUAAGGAAUUCGUGCUACUAGUUCGAAACAGGGUCAUCUUUGACCUAAUUACAAUUGCAGUACAACAGGAUUAAUCUCAAGUAUUUUGACGAAAAUGGGAAAAAAUGAGCAUGUUAAGGACAUAAAAUGUACAAUCUAGACUAAACAAGAAAUCAUGUUUGGACAUUCAUUGUGAUUUGUUUACAUAAGUACUAUCUGAAGCUCAUAGAUCUCAUCUAAAAAUUGAAAUAGCUAGAAUAUAAAAGAAGUCUAGCAAUACUACACAUGUACUCACGUGCAGGCAUAUAGAAACCAUGUCCCACAACAGACCAAAUCAUCACAAGUAACAUUAUACUUCCUCCAUUGUAACUAUAAGUCAUUUGUAAGUUUGUCCCAAGUCAAACUUUUUAGCUUUGACCAUCCAUAGCUAACAACAAAAACAACAAAGCCUUUUAGUCCCAAGCAAGUUGGGGUAGGCUAGAGUUGAAACCCAACAUGAGCCCCUAGUUCACAUGAUAUGUACUCACUAUGUCCUAGAAUGAUAGGCAUAUUUUGUACAGCGAAGAAACAAAAUUUUACAAACUUUGAUCAACAAUUGGUCGCGUUAUAUACAAGUUUAGGACAUAAAUUUGCAUUAAUAUAUUUCAAAAAGUGCCACUAAGAUGAUAUUGAUUCUUUAGCAAAUGACAACAUAGUGUAAGAGAAAUUAAGGGUCAACAUCUAUUUUGUAUGACAUUUGCCUUAUCAAAAUACGCUUAUCAUUCUGGGAUAGAGGUAGUAACUCUUUAUAUUUGAAACAACAUUUUUAUAGAUACUUAUAGACUUAUAGUCAAAGUUCCAUCUUGUAGGCCACAUCAAUUUCAUGAGUAACAAAUACUAAUUGGCAGAGUCAUUUUGUUAGCCAUACCACUAGAAGCAUAUUGUAUGGAUAAAUAAAUGCAUUUCCCCUAAAAAUUGUUUUGACCAACUAAUUCACUACAAAUAUUAAUGGUCAAACAUCAACAACAACGAACAAGAUUUACGAAACAUUACGAGAACCACCAACAGAGGAGCUUGAUGACCUAUAGUCAUUUGAUUCUAAAUAAGAAAUAUCCAUCAACACCAGAAUAUCAAUAUACAAAGUUAACAAACUAACUUGUUUCAACCAAAUAUACUAAAUCAAAGAAAUGCACACAGCAAUACUACAAAUACUAAAAGCUAAAACUAGUGACUAUCCAAAGAAUUGAAUUCAAGGACGCUCAUCACCUCCAAUAACCCUACCCCACAACAACUGCUGCCUCUCAUCCUCCUCUUCCUCUUCGUCAAUCUCAUCCCCGUAUCCCAGCUCCACGUCGCCACGGUACCCAAGUUCACUCCCUUACCUAGACUUGACAACUGUCGCCUCCAUGCCAUGCCUACCCCACCGCUCGCGGCACCAAUCCCACCAACAGGAGCCGGGCCGAGCUAUGUCGCAAUCGGCACGUCCCUCAUCCGCACCUCCCUGACAUUGGACGCCCACAUCUCGCUAGAGUCACUGGUGCCGCUGCCACUAGCGCCACACAUGAAAGGGAAAUUGGAACACGUGUCGGAUCUCCGACGGUCGCUGUUGUGGCUGGACACUGAUCGCGAUCACGUACCACGAUAGUGGCACUUGCGGAGCCCGAGCCACUAGAAGGAUCUGUCUUUACCGCCCCGAGGGGGCAUGCGUCGGAGUCUCCACAUUAGGGAGGUGCGCCGAGGAGGGGGGAGCGGUCCGAGAGACAGGGCUUCUUGUGGAAGGGAUGCUAGGAGGUGAUGGCCUCGAUGAGGGGGAGGUGCGGUGGGUGGUGCCACAGCUGUAGGGUUGAAAGCAUCUAGGCCUCUAAUGGGUUUUGGUGAUUAAUGACAAUGUUGAUUACUAUGACUAACAUGUGUUUUGCAGAGGAAAAAUCAUUUGAGUUAGGUCAUUAUUGACGGUCCUUAAGUACCAAAUAUAAGCAUCAAAUAAAUAAAGAAAAGGAUCCAAAUGCAACUAACACCCAGACUUAGGGUUUUAUCUGACAGAAUUCCACAAGUUUUGGUGUUUGUCUAUUUUCUGCAAGGAGUUAUCAGGAAAUAUGGAGGAAAGGCCCACACGUCGGGUUUACAUAGAGAUAUCGACAUACCGCGCAAUUAUCUUACAUCUAGAAGACUCCAGAAGCCACGGGAAGAAAGCGGAGGCCGAACGGAGCCAGGCACUAGGCGCCCGCCCAGUUGACCUGGGGGCCCGCCCCCCUGCAGAGUUGGAUCAGGACUCUCUUUCGGGACCAAGCUCCACCGACCUAAAGGAUCAAGGAUAACCGUCCAAUCAAUGUCGGUUUGAUCCAACGGCCCACGUUCACUUGAGGGGACUAUAAAACCAGACCCCCUGACCCCUGGAGGAGACAAGUUCAUCAUAGAGUUGAGAGGAGCCCUCGAAGGAAUACCUCUCCUCUAAAUAAAUAUUUAUUUUAGGCUUAGCAUCCAAUGUGAGUAGAAAUAGAUCUUCUAGUUUCUACUAGAUUGAGAGAUAUAGAGUGGAGGUGUAGAUUGGAGGAAGCCCGACCUGUCGGUCCGAGGUUGUACCUGCAGGAUCAAGUCUUCUAACCCAAGGCUUGCUCCUAGGAUUCUUUAGUAAUUCUACUUCUAAUUCUAGUAAGUUCUUGUUUUAUUGUUCUUUGGUUUAUGAGUUUACUUUAAUCUCUUCCGGUUGAGUAUUAGAGUAUUCAUUGCUAGUGUAAACGUGGUGUUUAGGCUAGGGUACUCAUAGAUAUCCCCUGACAACCUGGACCGUGGUAGUAGCGAGGAACGUGACAUUUUCGAGUUACUUUUGCAGCCCACAUCUUGUUAGCAGGACGGGUAGGUUUAUAGGUGCGGGUCGAACAUCCUUUGUGGUGUCUAGAUUUCGUAAGCUUCCCCAAUAGAACAGUAGAUCAUCCUUACCAAGGUUAGAACAAGACUACGGUUGCAGUCUUCUCUAUACAUCACUCACAUCGAGAAACAUUCUUUGUAGCCUAAAGGGGUAGUAGCAAUAGAUUUGGUUAGUCAGAUGCACCCUUUCUCCCAGUGGUAAAAAUAUAAAUACGAUACUCUAGAUAACCUCCCGGGUGAAAUGCUCACCGAUAUCCAUGCGCUCGCGGAUCAUUUUCUGAUUGCGUUACCAAAUAUCAACAGUCAUGGUAAUGGUGAUCAAUGGACUAGGACAUUCAUACCGACUUAAUGGUGGAAAUCGUUUCGGUUUUCAAAGGAUUGUUGGACAUCGUCAAGACUAGACUAGGUCUAAGUGCCAUUUGGAGUUGAAGAGCACUUAGAGUAGUUUAGGACUUUUUUCCUUUAACGUACUAUUAAGGGGGCAUUGAACGGUUAGCUUGACCUAGACAAGGCUUUAGGUUUAGGUGUAGUGCACACUUGAUAAAUCUAGCACUAGGCAGCUUAGAUGAAGUCCUUAGAUCGAGAGAAUUAAACUUUGUUUUGGAAAGUUCAUGAUUCAACGAAGUUUAGGUUGUUUUGGAGCACCACACGCUGGCACCAGACACCAUAGUGUUACUAUUGGCACUUCCGGUGUAUGCUGGAGUUGAGCCAGUGCGCCGAGUGCCUAGGGUUUGUUGACGGUCGAUAACGUAAACUUCUAGUAUAACUUUAAACCUGAAGGAGAACAUAAAUACACACUAGUAUAUGGUUUAAACUAACAAUUUCACAAGUUUUCUAUAUUUUGUAUUUUCUAAGGUGAAUUUCAGGAAAGCUAAAAAAGAGGGACUCUAGUGCAAAACAAACACGGAAAUGUAUCCGCCACGGGAAACGUCGUGAGAAGACUCAGGAAGGAUCGAGAAGUCACCCAGAGCAACGGGGGGCCUGGCGGCUGCCAGUUGGGGCCGGCCGGCCCCACCUUAGCGCCGGCCGGUGCCCCCCUUUAGGGUUUCGCCCCCCUCUUCUAGAAGCUUCCUCCACCGCCUUUGAUGAGUCAUCUCGGCCCUUGGUUAAGUCGGUUUGAUCCUACGGCGCACGUGAAUCCCACCGGACUAUAAAUACGUGCGUAGACCCCCUGAAGAGAGCCACUUCAUUAUUCAUCAAGGCCUGAAGCCAUCAAGCAUCAAGCGCUUUUAAGUUCAUCAAGAGCCUUCUAGUUCAUAGUUCUAGUUAGUUAGAUUAUAAGUAGAGGAGAUCUAGUUCUUCAUCGGGAUCUAGAGCCUCUAGCAUUGGUCUGGAGCGCAAGAGUUCGGUAAUAGAUCUAGUUCUUACUUUAUAGUAUUCAAUUGUAUAUUAGGGAGACUUUAUUUUUAAUAGAUUCAUAUGUUCUUAAUUACAUUAGUCAUUGUCUACUUUGAUUAUAUGUCUAGGAUAGUUGGUUUGAUCUUAUUGAAUUCAUGUAAUUGCUCGUAUAGCGUUUACCUAAUCGAUCGUUGGGUAGAUGAUAGACAAUAUAUAGACGUGGUGUCUAGAUACCUUAUUUGUCUGCGAGUGCCCCAUGACAUGUCGGGUCGUGUGGUAGUCUACGUAGGUGACAGCUGCGUUGGUUCCUCUGUAGUCCACCCUCCGUACGUAGGGCUAGCAUGAGCGCGGCCGCGAAAGAGGUGACGGUUGCGUCUUAAAACCCUCAUUAGUUGAUGUCUCUUUACAUGUAAUUAUGAUAUAGGGUUUACUUAAUGAUGAUUUCUGGAUGUAAUUGCACUAAUUAGAGUUAUUCAUUGGCGUAGUUAUACUUAGAUUCAACUCCCUAGUUUAUCCAUUGGCUAACUAUUAUUAUGACUAGUAGAUGCUCUGAUGAUUAUCCUUAUUUAUGAUACUUGAUGAUUAUGCUAUUACUAUUAUUUAUCUAUAUUUAUCUUGUGACCUCUGCCUGUUAUGAGUAGAUAUUAUAGGACUUGGGUAAUAUUAUUCAUCCUAUAAUAGAUGUAGUUUAACUCUUAGCCUUCCCAGUGGUAUAAAUAUAAAUUGAAAACCUGGAUACUUCUCUAGGUAAAAUGCUACAACGGUAUAAUUAUUUGUCCGCUUGUAGAACCCAUUUAGUUUAUAAUUAUAUUCAUAAUUGUUAUUCUCUGUCUUUACAGUAGAACAUGUGAAUCUAAAUUAAAUUCCUAGCAAUAUAAUUAGGGAUGACAACCUACUUUAUGCUUAGGAAUGUUUGAGUGGUUAGUUGCUAUUUGACAAAUUAAUUAAAUACCAUGUAUUUCUAGUGUUGUUACUAGGAGUAGGGUUUAUCUCUAUUUUUAGUGAUGAUGAUAGUAAAUGUCAACAGGGUUAGGCACCAGACGCACGCACCGGACCCUACGGGGUGCGUCCGGUUCCUUACCAGAGAAGUUGUUUUCUUGGUUUCUCACCGGACGAGUCACGCUUGAGGUCACCGGACGAUCGCUGAGCAUCCGGUGUGAGCAGUUCGACCAAGUACAACUAGUCGUUGGGGUUGCACCGGACACUCUGCGGAGUGCGUCUGGUGCAAUAUCAAGCGUGUCCGGUGCACUUGUUUUUUUGUGGAAUUCGAGUGGUCGGCCCUUGGAUUUGAUGGGAAGUAUUUAUACUCCCCCAUCUUAUCUAUGAGAGUUCUCUUGCCCAUUUGAUCAGCUGAGAAACACCUUGUGGUGCAAAGAGAAGCAAGAACCUAGAGAGGUUUGAGAAUUGAGUGAUUUUUUGAGUGAAUCCUUCUCUAGUGAGUUCCUAGAGUUCAAGUGUGCAUCCACCACUCUCUAGAGUCUUGUUUGGGUCAAUGAGAGUUCUUUUCUUGUUACUCUUGGUGAUCACCAUUACCUAGACGGUUUGGUGGUGAUUGGAGGCACAAAGACCGCCCAGAGUUCUUUUGUGGGUGGCUCGUGUGAAGCUUGUGAGUGGUUGUGGGAGAUUCACCACGAUGGAGUGUCGAAAAAUCAGCUUGUAGAGAGUACUUGGUCCUUGCGCGGAAGCACCACAUCCCCCCGAAUGUCAUAUGUGUGGCCCUGCCUGAGCUCCACACCACAUCGCCCCUCACCUCAUCUGCCACCGGCGCCCCACGCGAGUGGGGGCGUGUGCCCAAUGUGGCAGUUGCUCAACAUCGACCCGCCCCGUUCUCCUCUUGCUGACCUAGGGGACAAAUCCGCCUCAGACGGUGCUAGAACCCACCAAAGCGGCAGUGGAUAGGGAGAAGCCACUAUUCUCAAGUUUUCUAUGCAUACAUUUCAUAUGAAAAUAUGAUUUCAGGAGCUUCUAUGGUGAAGCUAGAAAACAGUUUCAUAAACCGUCCAAAAGUCCCUACCAAUUACCAAAGGGCCUUCAUUCCAAAUUAUAAAUUAUUUCGAUAAUAUUGAAGAGUUAAAACAUUUUCAAGUUUGACCAAAAUUAUAAAAGAAAAUACUAAAAUUUGUAACAUAAAAUCAAUAUACUAUAAAAAUAUAAUUAAAGAAAAAUCUAAUGAUACUUAGUAGGUAUCAUAAUAGUUAUUAUCUUGUUAUAAAAAAUUGGUGAAAUUUGAGAUACUUUAACUCUCCAAGAUUUUUAGAAUAUCUUAUAAUUUAGGAUGGAGGGUGAAAUACAUCCCUUAACUUUUGAAACCGUGCAUAUUACGUCCCUAAUAUGGUUAUGGGCGGUUUUGAAGGCAAUUUGUCUUUUUUAUUUUUAUUUUUUUUGGAUGAAUAUUUAUAAAAUUAUAGUAAAUCAAAUAAAAUUGAUAAAAUAGUAAAUCUAUUUUUUUGUACUCUAGAUAAGUAGAUAUAUACAAUGAACAUAUAAUAUGUUAUGCUUUAGUAUAAAGUUUUUGUUGUAACUUUAGAUCUGUGUUUUUUAUAAUUAAUUAGAAUAAUUCAUAGCUAUAGUUUGUAUGGUCCAAUUGUAGUGAAUUUUUUAUAUUGGAUUAUUUAUUAUAUGUUUAAACUGUGAUAAAAAUUUAAUACUCAUUAGAUCAUGUAUAACUUAGUUAUAGAUUUAUUAAGAUUUAACAAGCAUAAAUCUAAAUAAAUCUAUAAUAACUAAGUAAUACAUGAUGAAAGUUUUACUACAACCUAAGCGUAGAAUAAUUAACCCACCAUAUAAAUUUUGUUACAAUUGGACCAUAGAAAUUGUAGCUAUAAUUAGUCUAAUUAAUUAUAGAAAGCAUAGAUCUAAAGCCGCAUCAAAAAAUUUAUACUAAAACAUACUAUAUUAUAUAUUCAAUAUGUAGAUCUACUCAUCUAAAGUCCAACAAAAUUGGUUUUCUAUUUUAUGAUUUUUAUGUGAUUUAUUAUGAUGUUUCAAAAAAAAGCUGAAAUAAAUAAAAAGAUAAAGAUAAAACCAUUUUCAAAACCAGGUGAGGGAUCUAAUGUGCACGGUUUUUAAAAUUGAUGAUGUAUUUUGUCCGGUUCUAGAGUUUAGGGAUAAAAAUCAGAUUUUCGUGAAAGUUGAGGACCUAAAGUGGACUUUUUCCUUUUUGUUAUUGCAAAGGUUAAGGCCUUGUUUAGUUCAACCAAAAAUAAUUUUUUUUUCAAGAUUUCUCGUCACAUCGAAUCUUAGGAUACAAGCAUUAAAUAUAGAUGAAAACAAAAAUUAGUUACACAGUUUGUCUGUAAAUCAUGAGAUGAAUUAUUUAAGCUUAAUUAGUCUAUGACUGAACAAUAAUUAAAAAAACGAAGGUGCUACAAUAUUCAAAACAAAAGAAUUUCAGAACCCAACAAAAACAAAAAACUUUUCAAGAUUUCCCGUCACAUCGAAUCUUACGACACAUGCAUGGAGCAUUAAAUAUAGAUGAAAACAAAAACUAAUUAUACAGUCUGUCUAUAAAUCGCGAGACGAAUCUUUUAAAACUAGUUACUCUAUGAUUGAAAAAUAUUUGUCAAAUAAAACAAAAGUACUACAAUAGCGAAAUCUAAAAAAAUUUCACAACUAACAAGGCCUAAACGAAAACGGCCCAUCAGACCAGCAUCGCGGAAACCCACGGCGGCCCACUGAGGCCACAACCUUAGCAGCCGGGGUACGGGAACAUGGGCACGUUCCCCGUUCCGGGAACUUCGUCCCGAAACGUGGAACGGGAACAUCAUGGAACAUCGUUCCCAAAUGCGGUGGAACACGAAUCAUAUAUAGGAGCAAUCAUAGAAACAUCAGUCCCAAGCGACUAUGGAACUUCGUGGUGUGUCUGCAUACUGCGCCGUGCCCGUCCGUGAGCGGUCGGCGAAAAAUCUAGAUGGUGAUUGACUCAUUGGCCUAGACCUGCAAUGAGCCUUAAGGUUGGAGUUGGACAGCCCUAAAUGAAACAAAAAUACAAUAGUAAACUAUAUCACGCUAGGAAUCGAACUCAUUUGAUUCAAAACAACACGUAAAACUAUCUGAGCCAACCACUACGUCCCAAACACGUUCCUUUAGAAAGUGGAACGCGUUCCACAACUUAAAGGAACGAGACGAAACUAUAUACCCCUACGUUCCAUAGUUUAUGAAAAUGUCGUACCGCGUACCACGUUCCCGUACCACGUACCCUAUGUUCCGGAACAUGGCUGCUAAGGCCACAACACGCCGGCAACGUCGCGGUCCACCGCACGAAUCUCGAAGCGCCGCGCAGCCACAUUCGCCAGCUAGUAUCACCACGGGCUCCUGUUCCUGUCGCAGGUUACGCGGCGUCGCCUCCCGAAUCCCGAACCUUCUCGAGGUCGAGGCCCCUCUCCCCCUGCUCCAGGAGGUGCGCACGACUCUAAUCCCCUCACGCCCCACUGGCGUUUUCUUCCCUGCUUGCUCCGAUUUCGUUUCGAUGGUAAUCGCCGCCCGUUCCUCUCGUCGUCUCGUCCGGUCGUCCGCACCUUUCCUUUGAUUUGCGAGAGGGAUCUCUAGUCAAAAUCUCUCUUUAUGUAGCCGUUCAGUUCGUUGCGGUUUUUGUUUGACGAGUGGUUGAGUAGACCCCUGGCAAUCCACCCUUGCAUGGUUCGAUUAGGUUUUUGUUCAUCUUUUCCAGCUGCCAUUCUGCAUAAAUUGUUUAACCGAACCUCCUCUGUGGCUCUCUUUGUUUAAUUUCGUCACGGUGCCCCAUGUCAGUGUGUUGUAAGGUUGGAGCUGCACUGCAAUGAUACUUAUAUAAACUAGAAGCCUUGAUGCAUGAUUGAGCACGGUGCAAGUUGUUAGGUUUGAAAUUCCCGUGUAGUUCGAUUAACUGCAUAUCAGUAGUACAGUGCUUUUUGAAAGGAAGACGAAUAUGUUAUAGACUCAUAGUGUUCUCUGCAAGUCUGCAUCAUUUCUUUCUUGGUCGAGGUCUCAAGGAUGCUGCUACUUCAAUUUUUUAAAAAUAAUGCUCAGCAUAUAGUUAUGGUCCACCAUGUUCUUCCUGUUGCUUCGACUUUCGACUAGGAUAUUUUAACUUUAAAUAAAAUUCUGGCUCUUACUAUUACCAUGGUAUGACUUUCUCCUUAGAAAAUUGGUGUAGGGUUUUUGGUAAAUGACACAUUCUUGGAGAACUAUAUUCUUUGGGGGCCAUACUAUCUUUUGCAUGCUACAAUUGUGUCGUGCUUUGCCCCAACAUUUUUCCCAUUUAUGAGACAAUGAUGUACUUACCCGUGUUGGACUGCAGAAAACAAUGAGCCGACGCAACAGCCGUACCAUCUAUGUAGGCAAUCUCCCUGGGGACAUCCGUGAGAGGGAGGUUGAGGAUCUCUUCUACAAGGUGGGUUGCAAUUGUUUUACAUGUAUACCUUUGUCUGACUUUUCAUUUCGAAAGCAAGUGUCAGAUUGGUCAGGGCGUAUGCUAAUUCCUGCUCAGUCAAUAAAAUUUUCUGUCUCAGCAAGACAGCAACUUCAGUAUCCUAUUAAUGUGAGAAUGUAGUAUGGAGCUGAAUGUUUACAUUUUUUAUGUACUACAUUAAUUAAUUCAUCCGAUUCCAAAAUAUAAGUCCAUCUAGUAUUCUCUUAGAUCACCAAAUAUAAGUCCAUCACAACUUCGUGACAUCUAUUACUCUCAUUCUUCCAUGUCUACACCUGCUUAAAGGCGCCUAAUCAAUGCAGUACACUUGUUAUCUACCUUAACUGUAGUAACAAUUGGUGGCAACAGGGUCAUUGUACUCCUUACCUUAAUAUGUGCCAAAGUCCAAAUGGACUAUCAGAGGGAGUAGAAUAUUAUCUGAAAUUUGUUUGAGGGGUUGCACAAGAAUUUUGUUUGAGAUCAAUACAUGUUUUUUAUUGAGUUAUGUCAACUAAAGAAACGUCAUAUAUGUUGUUCUCUUUGUCUGAAGUAAACAAUAAUAUCUGUUUUGCAAUGACACCCGAUACCUUUUAUUUUGUCUCUGCAUCACCUAUGCUUUUAUUGAAUUAUGACAAUGCCUUGACUUUUUCCCCUUCAAUGUAUGAUUGUGCAGUAUGGUCGUAUCUUGGAUAUCGACUUGAAAAUACCUCCAAGACCUCCUGGAUACGCUUUCGUUGAGGUGAGGAUAUUUUUCUGUGGUCUGAUUCUGUAAGAAUAGUAUUCUUUUAUGGGGGCCUGCUUUUAAAUAUGCAUAACUUCUCUAUUACUCUGUUCAGUUUUAAAACCUAUUUUAUAUCAUGCUUUAAUCAUUCAAAUCAAACAAAUCAAACUGACUGAUAAUUUGUUUUGAUGUCACCCUAACAAAAAAUGAUGCUUUUUUAGUUUGAGGAUCCACGUGAUGCUGAUGAUGCAAUUUAUGGCCGUGAUGGGUAUAACUUUGAUGGCUACAGGUUGCGCGUAUGUAUAACAAACUUUUAUUUAAUGAUUCUCCCAGAAGAGAGGACUGGUUUGGGUUUUCUUGCAUUUGCUGAAAAUGCAUUUUCUACUCAGGUUGAAUUAGCUCAUGGUGGUAGAGGUCAGUCUUAUUCUUAUGAUCGUUCAAGCAGCUAUAGCAGUGCACGCCGUGGAGGUGUUUCUAGGCGCUCUGAUUUCCGUGGUUGGUACUUUUGUCAUAUGAGAACGUUUCCUUAUAGCUCCUUACACAGACUCUCAAGUUUCAUCUCCUAAAUCAUGCAGUUAUGGUCACUGGUUUACCUUCAUCUGCAUCGUGGCAAGAUCUGAAGGUAAUUUCUUUAUAAUUCAUUUAUUCCAGGACUUUUGCUGGAAAGAACUCAUUUACUACAUUUCAGGACCACAUGCGGCGCGCCGGCGAUGUCUGUUUCUCUGAUGUAUACCGUGAGGCUGGAGGUUAGUUGUUUGAACUUUGAACACUCCUGAACACAUUUUCUGCUAUUUCAUUGCAGCAUAUGGUUGUAAACGUAAUCCCUAAUUUUGUAAUCAUGUUUCCUAACUUAUUGCUUCACUGCCCCUUUGAAGUAUGAAAUAUUCAGGCUUUAUCCUGAAUUUCUACAUAUUGAUGAUAUCUGCUCCUUCUUCUUUCUUGUGCUGCAGAAACUAUUGGAAUUGUGGACUAUACAAAUUAUGACGAUAUGAAAUACGCGGUGGGUUUAGCAUGUCGUUUACUCAUUUUCUUUUAAUGUGAACUUAAAACCAUUUUCUCUCAUCUAUUACUGUGGGUCUGUUUUACUGUUGAAGGGAGUGCUCUAAGUAAAUUCUGUUCUUUCCUGUUUCAUGUGUCAUGAACUCAUGAUUGUACUCAUGCAUUUUCCUCUUGCCAUCGUGUAGAUUAGGAAGCUUGAUGACUCACAGUUCAGGAAUGCAUUUUCAAGGGCGUAUAUCAGGGUAUGUAUUCUUAUGUUUGCCCUAGUUUAGUUUUGGAAAUUGUUACAAUGCCUCAGAUCAUGUCUAUUUGAUUACGAGUUAUGUUGAUUCUUGUUCUAUUGUAGGUGAGGGAGUAUGAUGCCAGAUCACGAAGCAGAAGCCGUAGCCGGUCGUACUCUAGAAGCCCCAGUUACAGCAGGAGCAGGAGUCCAAAGUAUGUAUACAUGCUGACAAAUUUGUUAUCCAUGUCUUAUGGCAGCACUAACUAUUAUUUGUUGUUACUUAGAUCUCUUUCUCGGUCACCCUCACCUGUGGAUGAAAGGUAUGUGAAUCUAUGUCAAUAAGAAAUGUACAUUUGUGAAACUGAAAGUGCUAAUAUUGUUUAAAGAAAACGGAUUGACAAAUAAAUGGUGAAACCAAUCAGAUCUUGUCCUGAAUCAUCUUUAACGUAUUCUGCAGUACACCUAUGGUGCUAAAAAAUAUUGAAACCUGACUUGCAUGUCAUCAUUUUGUGGACUAACUUAACGCAGGGCCAGGGAGGAUGUCACAACUGAUAGGAGAGUGCCACAUUAACUUAAUUAUUUCCUACUAUCUGAUAUACUCUUGUCAAACAAACCAAAUGCCCGAGCUGAGAGACUGCCUUGUACAUACUUCUGCAAAUGCAGACCUGAAUUUUUGAGCAUGUGCUCUACCUAUCCUUAUAGAACAUGUUGAAGGUUUGGCUCUAUCACAAACUUCUAGAUAAAUCUUUCAAUGUUGUAGCAGCCUAGCAGGGAGUAUUGGAUCCUUCAGAAGCAUGCCAAAUUGAGAGGGUAUAGAAAGAUGUAUUACCAGAAUUUUACAUUCUUUCAAAACAAUAGUCUUGUCACCUUUUCCUGCCGUACCAGUCAUCUCCAUAGCAUGGCAGAACCUCUUCGUUUCUUUUUCCUCAUGGAAAAGCUUCAGUCCUCUCCUUAAUUAUCAACUUCAUACAUCUUUAACCUAGAGCUCCUUUUUUCUGAGUUUAACAACAAACUUUUCCUGCUUUAUAUUUUAAAGUAGAAAAAGGACUCUACAGAUAAAACUCACAUAUAUUUGCCUCAGAUUUUAAUAAACAAUAUUUCAAAAUAAAAUAUUUUUUCUGCUUUUUGUUAAAGCAAUAAGAAGAAACAAAGUUUGGUGCCAGAAUUUUUUUUUCGCGAACAGGUCGUAACCUGUUGGUGCCAGAAAUUUAACUUGAUAUACUUUGGAACGCCUCCUGAAAUCACCUGUGAUAUGUUUUUCUGUGUACCGAUUUCUCUUUAAGUUAGCAUAACUUUUGUGAUGUACUAAUCUCUCUUUAAAUAAGUGUGACUUGAAUUUGCUCUGUAGUUCAAUGAUUAAACAUACAGAGCUUGCUGGCUAACCUCCACUGUUCAAGGUUUGCUUUUGUUUUUCCUAGAUUUGGCCAUGCGGCGAUCUGGGGACUGCAUUGAUAUAAUAUUGGAUGUUUUGAGAAUUGGAGUGGAUGGUUUGGGACUUUGGAUAGUAGAGCUGGAUUGUGAUGCAUGUAUGACAAGUGGGCCACGACCAGUCCUAGGAGCAAGAUAGGACUGACAGUAAGAAAAUGUGAAGUGAAUCUUGUGGUGUUAUUAAAACAAAUGUCUACUAUUAAGUUCAAUGACUCCGUAUAAAUGAACCUUAAUUUAUAAGUUUGUGUUUUUGUCUAACAAUGCUGCCAUCUUAGUAAAAAUUCCUAUGGUGCCUUCUGCAUAUGGCUCUUUGUAGCCAUUUUCUUGUCAAGGUUCACACUAGCCAAAGAAGUUGACAUUAACAACAAAAUUCAAUAUACACCUUGCUUUGUUUGCUUAUUUGCAUUCCAGUUAUGACCUAAUUACCUUAUAGGCUUAAAAACUAUAUUAUUCUCGGAGUAUUAAGCAUAAACACCAGAAUGUUGCAGCUUCCCUCCUGUUUCAGUUCAUUCAUUCAUCUGCUGUGGAACGUUGCCUCUUUAUGCACAUCUCAAGUUGCCAGUUUAGCUUUAAUUGCAAUUUUGUAUCGCAGAUUAGAGUGCUACUAAUGCAUCAUUAAGUAAUGGAAUUUGUUUCUGGUACCUUUUGCAGAUCGCUAUCAAGAUCUCGAUCCCCAGUUUCUUCUGUAAGUAUCCCAAGCUCAUUAUAACCAAGCUUGUCAUAAUUGUCUUGUUCAAUGCAAUUGAUUUUUAACUCUUUUGCAGCCUUCUCAUGCCAGAUCUGCGAGCAGAAGCACAUCCCGUUCUCGGUCUCCUGUAAUUGCAAGCUUCCAAAACAAUCACUUAUUAUGUUGCUAGGAACUUUCAUGCUUAUUUAGUAUGUUGUUGCUGGCAGGUGAGAUCCGAUUGAACUUGGGAGCCCUUGAAGCAGUGAGCAGCUCCAGGGAGAAGAAAGGAACUUGAGAACAUGCCGUGCCAAAAGAUACUUGAGAACACCAAUGGUCCAAGUGAUUAUGUUGUUGCCGCUGCUCCCCCACAUUUGGGAGGUCUCUUCUAUUUAGACGGAGCAUUUAAUAAUUAUUAUAUUACAUUAUAUUGCUAAAGAGAUACUUAUUAUGCGUAGCAUACCGGUGUAGACUGAACUUGUUUGUCCUCGGUUUUUCUUGGCUCCUGGAACUCGGUUUUAUCAUUUGUUUACAAGAGACUUGUUUUAUCAUUGUACCCAUAUAGCAAAACCUAUAGGUGUAGUAGGAGUAUGCUGUAUGCGUCUAUGUUCAAUUGGUCGCAUGUAAACCUGGAUACGCACAGUUGUUUGGUUCCAUGGUGUGUUGUUACAAUGUUCCAAAAUUUGAGAUUCUCUGGAACAAUGUAGCAUCGUUGUGCAACUUCGAUCAGAUUUGGCUGAAUUCUGGUAGUUUUGUUCCUUGCCCUAUUGAGCCGAAGUGCGUGUGCAACGAGUUUGCCGACACAGCGCUGACUCCGUAUCCUUUUUUAAUUUGGAGUUGGUUGGGUUUCAAGUAAGACUACAAAUAUAUUUGUGGGUUGGAAAAUAAACAAAAUCUAGCUAAUACUCCAUUUCAAAUUAUAAGAAUUUUUGGAGUCAGAAGCAUUUUAAGUUUGAUUAAAAUUAUAGAAAUAAAUAUAAAGAUUUAUUACAUCAAAUAGGCAUUGAAAAUAUAAUUAAUGAACAAUCUAUUGAUACUCAGUUGGUACUAUAAAUUCUUAUUAUCUUAUCAUAUAAGAGAUUCUUAGAAUAAUUUAUAAUUUAGGAUCUUAUCAUAUAAGAGAUUUUUAGAAUAAUUUAUAAUUUAGAAUGGAGGGAGUACAAGUGUAACCUAACUUUUUUGAUAAAAAGAAAGAAAAAAGUCUACAUCACUCCCUGAACUAUGGGUGGUGUCUACUUUAUCCCCGAACUAUGAAAUGGUCUAAUUUACCCUCUGAACUAUCCAAAACUGUUCAAAUCACCCCUCAGGCAGUUUUUGACGGCAGUUUUGAUACAGUAACUGCUGUUUUUAUUUUUUUUAUUUUUUCAUAUUUGUUUUCAUAUAUAAUCUUUGAAAAAAAAUAGUAAAUUACAGAAAAAUCAUAAAAUAGAAAAUCUAAUUUUGUUGGACUCGGCAUGAGUAGAUCUACGCAAUGAAUAUAUAAUAUGAUAUACUUUAGUAUAAAUUUCGUACUCAUUUGAUCAUAUAUAACUUAGUUAUAGAUUUAUUCAGGUUUAUGCUUGUUAAAUAUAAAUAAAUCUAUAACUAAGUUAUACAUGAUCCGAUGAGUAUGAAAUAUUUACUAUAUUUCAAGCAUAGAAUAGGCCUUGUUUAGUUCCUCAAGUAUUUUGUAAAAAAUCCAAAAACCCCCAAACCUUAAGCAGUCCACCAAAAUUCUAACACCAAAAAUUUUUGGUUUUGGUGUUUACUUCCUAAAAUAUUUUACAAAAUUUUUCAGAUUUCCUGUCACAUCAAAUCUUGUGGCACAUGUAUAAAACAUUAAAUAUAGAUAAAAAAUAACUAAUUGUACAGUUUAUAUAUAAUUUGCGAGACGAAUAUUUUGAGCCUAAUUAUUAUAUUAUUGGACAAUAUUUGUCAAAUACAAACGAAAUUGCUACGGUAUCUAUUUUGCAAAAAAUUUUGGAACUAAACAAGACCAAUGUCCCUAUUUUAUUUUGCAAAAAGUUUAGGGCCAAAAUAUUUUGGCCAUGUUUACUUCCAAAAUGCAAAAUAGCAAAAAAAAUUUUAUUUGGUCCAAAAUAUUUUGGAACUAUUAGGCCUUGUUUAGUUCCCAAAAAAUUUUGCAAAAUUUUUCAGAUUCCCCGUCACAUCAAAUCUUUAGACGCAUGCAUGAAGUAUUAAAUAUAGACGAAAAUAAAAACUAAUUGCACAGUUUGGUCGGAAUUGACGAGACGAAUCUUUUGAGUCUAGUUAGUCCAUGAUUGAACAAUAUUUGUCAAAUACAAACGAAAGUGGUACUAUUCCUAUUUUACAAAAUUUUUUGGAACUAAACAAGGUUCCAAAAAUUUUUGAAACUAAACAAGGCCUAAUUAGUCGACCAUAAAAAUUUCACACAGUUGGACCAUAGAAGUUGCAGCUAUGAAUUAUUCCAAUUAAUUACAGAUAAAAUUUGAUUUUUUUUCUAACUAAUUUAAAGCUACAGAAAAAUUUUGUAUUAAAUAUACCAUAUUAUAUAUUCAUUGCAUAGAUCUACUCAUGUGGAGUCCAAAAAAAUUAGAUUUUCUAUUUUAUGAUUUUUCUAUGAUUUACUAUAUUUUUUAAAAGAAUAUAUGAAAACAAAUAGGAAAAAAGAAAAAGUCAAAACCGCAGUUACUAUAGCAAAACCACCGUCAAAAACCGCUCAGGGGUGAUUUGAACGGUUUUGGAUAGUUCAGGAGGUAAAAUUAGACCGUUUUAUAGUUUGGAGGUAAAGUAAACACCACUCUAUAGUUCAGGGGGUGAUGUAGACUUUUUCCUAAAAAGAAAUGGAAGAAGAAAUGGAAGAAGUCCACUUUAGGUCCCUCAACUUUCGUAAAAAUUCGUUUUUCAUCCUGAACUUUAAAAUCAGGUAAAAUAUAUCCCUCAAAUUUUAAAACUAUGCAUAUUACGUCGUUGAUAUGGUUAUGAGUAAUUUUAAAGGUAGUUUUGUCUUUUUAAUUUUUACUAGGUAGCGUGCCCGUGCGUUGCUACGGGAUAACUAACAUUUUUAUUUAAAAUUCACGGAUCGCACAAUAAGAUAACAAUAUUAUAAUAAAACUUAAAUACCAACUAUAAAGUUACAUUUGACUUAAAGAAACAAAGUUCGUGAAAUCAAACAUAGUUAUGAAGAGCACGACGUUAUAGGCUUACAAACUCUACUUUAUAGAUCUUUCCGUGAUACGACAAAGAUAAUGUUUAUAUCGACAAGAAGAUAUGUCCGAUAUCUAUUUCUUUCGUGUGCCAGUAAAUCCACAAAUAAAUUUCGCCGCAUCUCCGUACCAUCCUAUCACACAUUCAAGUAUAUAUGUAAAAAUUAGUGUGUUACAUGGGUAAUACUACAUUUUGUUAAAAAAACUUUUACAAAAACUUAGUCAAAGUGUUAUACUCACUGUAUAAAUAUGCGUGGCUUUUGGUCUAUUCCAUGUAGACAUAUAUUGUAGGAUGAGAAAUCUACUUAAGUACCUGUAGCAAGAUUCAUGAUCAGCAAUAUAUAGAAAUAGUUAAAUCAUAGGUAUUUGUUAUUGCAAAUGACGAUGAUUUUAAGUUAGUUACCUAUCUAUAUCAUCUGCAAUGUUUUCUGUCCGUUUAAAUUUCCAUUUGAAAACAUCCUCAUCUCAUCCAGGAAUAUGUUUAUUAAAUGCGGCCAUGUAGUUGUAGCUAAGUCCAAGAGUGUAUUUGGCAUACAUAAGCGCUGGUGUGUCUUUACACCACUCUUCAAGAGGUCUAGGGUUAAUCAUGAUGAGCAUUUUUUCCCGCAUGUCGAAAACAUAAAGCAUAUAUUUUCGAAAGGAUAGCCACGGUAAAAGAAACUGCAAACACGGUACCAUUAGAAUAGUUUAUAGGGAACAAUCAAUAAAAUAUUGAGCAAAAGACUUACGUAUCUGCAUUGUGCUAAGCUGUACUUCAUAUCCUCACAUAUACCAAUCGCAGCAGCCAUUUCUGUUGUUUUGUAUUUUUUACGAUAUUCUGGCAUCUUUGUUAAAGCACACAUUCUCUGAAAGCAAAGGAUAACGAGAGUCAGUAUUAGUAUGACUUGAAAAAAAUAAGACAAUAUAAUAUAUCACCUAAUUUAUCCUAUUGAAGUUAGACUCCAUGCAAAAAUAUACUUACACAAAAUUUUAAGUCCAUGUGAUGCUUCGUAAUAUUAUUAUAAUUUUUCAUUAUAUUAUACUUUCGAGCCGCCUGAAAACGAACUCCUAUUUCGAAACAGUUCUCAGGGAUGUCUCGAUUGUUCAUUAACAAUCCUUACUCAGUCGGUGAGAAGAACCGUUUCUUCAUGUAUCAGGCUUCACCCCGAAAACCAAAAACUUUUCAAGAUUCCCCGUCACAUCAAAUAUUAGAGCACAUACAUGAAGCAUUAGAUAUAGACGAAAAUAAAAACUAAUUUUACAGUUUAUCUGUAAAUCACGAGAUGAAUCUUUUGACCCUAGUUAGUCUAUGAUUGAAUAAUAUUUGUCAAAUAAAAACGAAAAUGCUACGGUGUCGAAAUCUCAAAUUUUUUCGGAACUAAACAAGGCUGAAUAUCGACAUCAUCUUGUCAUACAUGCCAGCCUUACCGUAGGACUUGAUGUUGAACGUCUUGGUAUCUGGCUCAACACCCAUCAGCUGAAACUCACUGUAACUCUUCUCCAUUUCAUCUGUUCUUCCAUGGUUGCCAUAUGCCCCGAUGACAGAGUUCAUCGUGUAAAUGUCUGGCACAUUGCUCCCACUCUCAAGCAUGGCAGAGAGCGCACCCUCCAUCUCCUCAAACAUGGCAGCCUUGCCGUACCCAUCAAUUAUCGCGUUGUGGAUAACCGAAUUGCACUCGAUCCCCAGGUAUGACAUCUCGUCGAGAACAGCAGGGAUCAGAUCGAAGCGGCGCGACUUGGCGCAGAAUUGAUGAGGACGGAGAAGGUGUACCCGUCCGGCUUGCAGUCGGCGGCGCCUUUCAUCUGCUCGACGGCAGCCAGCGCCUCGUCCAGAAAGCCGCUAUAGCCGUACGCGCCGACGAGCGCCGUGUACACGUCCGCCGUCGGCCGGAGCCGCUCCGAGAGCAUCGCCUUGAAGAGGGCGGCGGCGGGACCGGGCUGCCGGCACUUGCCGAGCAUCAUCAGCAGCCGCGCGUAGGUCUGCGACCUCGGCUCGUACCAGUGCUGCUUCCGCAGCAGCUCGAAGAUCUAGCGGCAAGCAAAGCAAGAGACACGGUAAGCAUCGUUGAGGAGAGCAGAAGAUCCUCCGCGGGGAAGGAGGGGGGAAAAGCGUUGGGAAGGAGGGGACCUCCAGGGCGGACUCCCAGCGGCAUGCGGCGACGGUGGAGUCGAGGGCCUCGAGGACGACGCGGGGCCAGAGGUUUGUGGACUGCUGCCGCGCGGCCGCGGCCUUGCGGGAGACGCCCGAGACGGCGGCCUCGGUGCGGAGGAUGUGGGCGAGGGCGUCCGGCUGCUCGUGCUCGGCCUCGCCGACGCGGGUGGACGGGGACAGGCGAGGCGGUGCCGAUGCGGAUGACGGAGCCAGGCGAGGUGGUGCCGAUGCGGAUCACGGCGGCAGGCGAGGCGGUGCGGAUCACGGAACCAGGAGAAGGGGAUCAGAGCGAAGGGGAUCAGGGGUCUUCGGUUUGUGCUCACGGUGGAAAGGGGAAGGGGAUCGCGGGUCUGCUGACGGAAAGGGGAGGGUAUCACGGAGGGAUGGAGGUUUCCAAGUUUAGCUGGCGACGUGGACGCACGACGCGAAUGGGAGACGGACGAAACCAAAACCGCACAAAAAAAAAUGUCCUUGUUUUAGUUUUUUUUAGUUGUAGGAGAUUUAUUUUGGCUAAAUAUUUGUAAAAUUAUAGUAAAUAACAUAAAAUUCAUAAAAUAGUACAUCUGAUUUUGUUGGAUUCCAGAUAAGUAGAUCUACACAGUGAACAUAUAAUAUGGUAUGUUUUAGUACAAAGUAUUUGUUGUAGUUUUAUAUCUAUGUUUUUUUUAUAAUUAAUUAGAAUAAUUUAUAGCUAGAGUUGUAUGGUCCAAUUGUGAUGAAUUUUUUAUGUUGGGUUAAUUAUUAUAUGUUUAAACUGUGAUAAAAAUUUCAUACUUAUUAGAUCAUGUAUAACUUAGUUAUAAAUUUAUUAAUAUUUAAUAAGCGUAAACCUAAAUAAAUCUAUAACUAAGUAAUACAUGAUCCAAUGAUUAUGAAAUUUUUAUUACAACUCAAGCAUAUAAUAAUUAGCCUACCAUAUAAAUUUCAUCACAAUUGGAUUAUAGAAACUGUAGCUAUAAUUAGUCUAAUUAAUUACAGAAAAGUAUAUAUCUAAAGUUGUAUCAAACAAUUUGUACUAAAAUAUACUCCCUCCAUCCCAAAUUAUAAGUCAUUCCAAGAAUCUUGGAGAGUCAAAAUAUUUUCAUAUUUGACCAAAUUUAUAGAGAAAAAUAGUAAGAUUUGUAACGUAAAGUGAGUAUAUUAUGAAAAUAUAAUUAAGGAAGAAUCUGAUGAUACUUAGUUGGUAUCAUAACAAUAAUUAUUUUAUCAUAUAAAUUUGGUCAAACUUAGAAAAGUUUGACUCUCCAAGAUUCUUGGAAUGACUUACAAUUUGGGAUGUAGGGAGUACUAUACUAUAUAUUCAAUGUGUAGAUCUACUCAUCUGAAGUCCAAAAAAAUUAAGUUUUAUGUUUUAUGAUUUUUAUGUGAUUUACGGUGAUUUUCAAAAAAAAAUUAGCCGAAAUAAAUAAAAAGAAAAAGAUAAAACCACUUUCAAAACUAGAUAAUAUGCACACUUUUUAAAGUUCAAGGAUGUAAAUCAGAUUUUUAUGAAAAUUGAGGGAUCUAGAGUGAUUUUUUUUUUCAAAAUAAAUCAAACGUGCACAUGCUGGUAGUACGUUUGAAUUACGAAUCCUACUAAGUACCGGUCCGGCCCGGCCCCUUUAUCUUGCGGCCCCCGCGCCUUUUGUUCUCCCGUUCCCCAGGCCCAGUCUCCCACGCAUCGCGGUUCUCCCCGUGUCCUUCGCGUGAGUUCUGCGACGACUACGCGACCGCCGGCGCCAGCGCCAGCGCCAGCGCCGCCGUUCGCCAGGUUUCCGGAUCUCUAUCUUCGGGUUGGAGCCCUUCACCGGCGACGAGCAGCCACCAGGUACGCCCACCCCAUCUCUUCCGUUCCUGCUGUGCGGAACCGAGCACCCAAACCCUAACUAUUGGUAACCGUAUCUGAUCUGAUCCAAUUAGUGUUGCGAGUCCCGAUGGCGGAACCAGCGAAGCCCGAGGUGACGGAGGAAGCUAAGAUGGACCUGCUCGAGGACGACGACGAGUUCGAGGAGUUUGAGAUCGAUCAAGGUAUGCUUCCUCGUCGAAUCCCCGGUUCUUCCUGGUCAUCUGCUAGGUGGCUCCGUUGUCAAGAUCUGGUUAGGGUUCGUUAGCUCAGGUGUUUUUGUUUUUGUGUCACAUAGGGGGUGUGAAAUAUCUGUUGCUGUCACUUGUGCGAUGUAGGGCUGUGCCCAAACUAUUGUCCGUUAGUAGACGCGCUGGACAUUCUGAUCUUGUUUAUCUAGUGGACCGGAGUCUUAUCUUUCUGUAAAGUAGCUAAAAUUUGUGGCUAACCGGCUGCUCCAAAAUUGAUGAUUUCAGAUGGGUUUGCUCUUUCUGCGCUGAAAACAUUUGUCUGCUGUUCCAUAUUAUGAAAUUCUAUCCACAACCUGAGAUAUUUCGCUAUAGAUAGAUGACAUUUGGGCUAAUAUGUUGAGUCGGUUCGAACUUGAAUUGUGGUUUAUUUAUCUGUAUGAAUUACUAGAUUCAUUUAUUAAUUGCUCACCCCAGAGACAAGCAAAGUGCCACUUAUAGAACAAUAAUAAUGCAACCUUCAGGAAAAACUCCAAUAGUGAGUUUCUGUGGCAACAUCAACGCAAACUAACAGUUAUUAUAUCGAGAGAGUGUUUUUCUAGAUUGAUUUGAAUCGUGUUUCGUGUGUGCAGUUCAUAAAUGUUAUAGAGGGAUUGGUUACUACAUGCAUGGCACGUUACUGCCAUGAGUGCAUUCAGCCUAUUUUUUGUGCUUAAAAAUCUCUUAAUUUCUUUAGACAAUCUGUACAUGCCUAUAUGCUAGAUCAAGUUGAAAGAUCAAAUCCCAGAUGCAUUUAUGCUUGCUUUGCAUUAUUAGAAACUUAGAAGACAUCACAAGAUUGAUGUUGCAUUUGAGUGUUCUGGUGUUGUUUCCUAGUUAAUCUGUUCACCAUGACCCAUUUGGAUUAUCUUGUUUUUUUAGUUUCCUCUUUGUCCGUUGUUUCUUUUGGUUGUGUAGUGUAAUGACCUGUUCAAUUCGACAAGAUAUCAAACUUGUUUAUGAAACUGUUACAGACAAAAACAAUGCUGGCAUUACCUAAAUACCAGUCUGAUACUAACUUCUGAAUUACAGAGUGGGAUGACAAGGAAGAAGGCAAUGAAGCACUUCAGCAAUGGGAGGAUGACUGGGAUGAUGACGAUGUCAAUGAUGACUUCUCGCUGCAGCUGAGGAAGGAGCUGGAGAGCAAUGCGCCCAAGAACUAGCUAGCAUUUGCAUUUUGCAACUGUUAUUUGUUCUGGACCUUGGCAUGGCUACUUUGAUGUAGUCGCUGCAUUUGCUGUUGUUAAUACCUUGAUUACUGAAAGAUCUAUUUUCCGAGUUAUAUUAACCUGCUUUCAUCAUCAUCUAAUAAUAAUCCAAAUCUGAUCGGUCUAUUCAGAAGUCUGCAAGGCGCUGUUGUUUGCAUAUCAUCUAUCUUUGUUGUUUGCAUAUCAUCUAUCUUUGCCAUCCAAGCUGUCUGCAAUGUUGCGGUUUGAUACUUGUCUUGAAGGGAAAUUUUAGUUGCUCCAUAUGGUUACCUGUCAAUCAGUUUACUUCUGAGCAGCUUAAACCAGUAACGUAGAGUACUAUCGCAAAACCCUUUAGUAACGUUGAGUACUAUCGCUAAACAUUUUUUUUUUGAAGGAUCUGUCUAGAUAACAAUUGAGUGAUUCAAGGGCAGCCAUUAGUUAACUUUUUGACGCAUAGACCAUCUUUAACAACACCACCCAAAAUACAAGACUAAUUCAACGCAAUCUCCAACAACACCACUCAAAAUACAAGACUAAUUCAACAUUUGGUAGCGCUACAGGCAAAGAGUUCAAUAUCCAUUUAACAUCUUCUGUAAUAACAAGACCCAAAAUAGAAUCUUUUUUACAAAUAGUUUUAAGGAGAGAAGACAUUCAUAUUUGGGUUGUGCCUCUCAAACAAUCUAAAUGGGGUCUCCCGUAGUUAACUUUUUGACGCAUAGACCAUCUCUAACAACACCCAAAAUACAAGACUAAUUCAACGCAAUCUCCAACAACACCACCCAUAAUACAAGACUAAUUCAACGCUUGGUAGCGCUACAGGCAAAGAGUUCAAUAUCCAUUUAACAUCUUCUCUAAUAACAAGGCCCAAAAUAGAAUCAUUUUUACAAAUAGUUUUAAGGAGAGAAGACAUUCAUAUUUGGGUUGUGCUUCUCAAACAACCUAAAAUAGGGUCUCCCGUAGGUACUUAGUUAGAAGCCGAUUUUAGAUCUCCUGCUACCCAUUUUGGGUUUGGAUGCCCAUAUGGGUCACUUAUUGGAGAUAGUCUUAUAGAUAUAAAAUAGAGGGUUGAGAUCAAAUCUCUCUCCAUUAUAUCUUCUUUCAUCUUCUUCCUCCACGCGCACACCACUGGACCCUAACAAGCCACUCGCCUCUGCCACCUUUGCCUCCUCGCUUGGCUGUAGCGGCUCCCUUGUUGUUGGAUCCGCUAGCCUCCACCACAACCCGAUCUGGUACUAAAAUCCAUUGGAUGUGUCUCCUCGCCGUCUUCUUCAUCUUCACUCUGAGCUCCCUACUUCCAUGCUAAUCUGGUGGAGGUUGUCGAGAUAUAUCCAUCACACCCCCGUCCUUGUCCUGCCCAACUGCCUUCCUUCACUGCCCAGCUGGCAGUGCCACUGCCACGACUGCAAUCACCACUUGGGCAGCCUUUUCUCAUGAAUCCUUAAGCCCGCCAGAUUUAGGUGACACCUUGAAUCCCAAACCCUAACCCUAACCUUGCCAACCUAGUGAACCCCCUUGGGACAACACCCACAGUUAGUAGUUGCAAUCAUAUCUUAUCUUAAACUAUAAUAGGAUUUACAUAGGUGUCCUUAGGUGGGUACCACCUAACCAACCUCCUUGUGACAACACCCAUAGUGUUGGUUGACCAUGCUUAUAUCCUCUAUCAAUUCCAGAAUCACUACACCAUCGUUGCCAGCAAAUCCUACGAGGGAUAUAACAAAACCAAAUCAUAAACUACCAAGCACAACAAUUAAAUCCCGAUUUUGCUACUAAGAAUGAGGAGUCAAUGUGAGAUUUGCCACUAUACUACACGCUUUAGGAAGAGUUACUUUGCCAAGAACUAUGAUGUCAUAGCAUAUGUUAUUGUAUUUCUAGAAGAUAUCUACUUGUCCAAUAAAUUGUCUCUUAGAUGUCACUGAGUUGGAUGAGUAUUAUGUGAGUAAAAUCCUAGUUGUCAAUUAUGUUGCCAUCUAGUUGGCUAGUAGUUGUCAUGUAGUUGUACAUGAAUCAUGUACAACUUUGGAGCCUAAAAAUAUAGGAAAUUAAUAUUUUAAUUUUUGGGAUUCAUGCAGUCUGCUAUAUAUUAACUUGAUGAUGUUCCUAUUAUUGAUUUCUUUUAAGAUAUACUAUUUGAUGAAUUAGGUUUCCCUUAGGGGAUUAUCUGCUAUUAUGUUAAAGUUAUUCCUUCAAAAACUUUGCUUUAUAUCUCUUACCACCUUGGAGUGGUUCCUCCAAUGCUAGUGUGUUACACGAUAUACCUUGUGACACAAACCCUACACUAGGCAAAUGAAAAGAUCAUAGGAUCAUAGAAGAAUUUCAACAAAUAGGAAUCAAACAUGUAGUGAGAACAAUUAACAAAAGUUAGAACCCUACAAUACUAGUUUACAAUAAGAUAUAGUCAGUGACAUGACACUUUUGCAAGAUCAUAGGAAACCAUGAAACAAAUCUUCCAACAAAAAAAAUAUUAGCAAGAAGAAGGCAAGAACACAAAAGUGACAUCACAAUUAUGAGUUACAACACUAACAUGAAUCGGUACAUUUGUUUUUUUUGUUCCAAAAAUGCAUACCAAGUUGUUGAUAAAAAACAAGCCAUUUCAAGUUAGAGGGAUAAACCCAAGCUUGGCGAGAAAUAGAGGACUAGAAAAAAGUAGGGGUGAUAGUGUGGAAGCGAUGCAAACUCCCAAGGACUGUACCCAUUGCUAGCUUGGAUUCUGAGGAUAGAGAUUCCUAUAAGGGGGCAAACUAGUUUGCUUAAAUCAUCUUCAAAAGCUCCUCUAAACUAUUCUCAAAACCGUUUUUAGCCAAAAACAAAAAAUUGACCCUCCAACAAUUGUAGUCUGCACUUCCAAUCUUUUAUAGAUUCCUGAAUCUCUCAAUCAACUUGUACCUUCCCAAUCACUCUUGACCAUUGCAUUUUUGUUUCCUCAUGCAGUCAUUUGUUUCUCUCAUGUGAUUUUUUGUUUCUCUUAAGCAGUUCUUUGAUCCUCCAUCGCCCACUAUUGGCUACCCUUGUCGCGCCUAACUAGUCUUGGUCAUCCCUGACCGCUCACUGGCCAAGCUAGGGAAGUCACAUAGGUAUGGAAACAAAAACAUAAAGAUGUUGUAGAAUGGUAUAUUUUUUCUAUACCAAACGGUGUUUGUGAGCUUCUAAAAUCAUAAUUUAUUGGAAUGAUUUUUUGUUGUAAACUCUUGGAUAUUUUCUUAGGAUAGACUAAAGCAAAUUGUUGGGAUUUACCCAUUAUACCUCAACCCACCCCUUCAAUCACCGGUCAUUAAAAAAUCUUGUGUUGUCACAUAGGUGGAAAGGACUUGUCCUUUGUAUGAUAUUUUAUAGUCAUCUUUGAAUAUUUGCUAUCUCUAAAUAUUUUUAUUUCAUUUUUCUAUGAUAUAUCUAUAUGAAAAUUGGUUAUGUAGAUGAUCCAUGUUAAGUAUCCAUGGCUGAAUGGUUAAAGCGCCCAACCAUAAUUGAUAAUUUUGCGAGUUCAAUUCUUGUUGGAUGCAUGCAAAUGAGAACAUUCUGUAAGUCUAUUAGAACUGGCUCUCUAUCUAUGGAAUCUCAUCCAUCAUCUUUACAUAAUGAAUUGGUAUGGUAUAUUCAUACCAUAACAUAAGAACUCAAAUUCUUAUCGAUACUAGAACUUAGAGCAUAGGAGGGAAAGUCAAUUUAUGGAUGGAAUAAAAUUUGUAGUAUUUAGAAGAAGGCCCAACUCAAAGGUUAAAUAAAAGCCACUAUGGCAAAGAUAAAAUGAUGAAGGUUUGAAUCAAAGUCUUGGUACAAAGAAAAAAUCCAAUUCAAAGAAGCCUUGGGACAAAGACCCCAAGUUGAAGGUCAAACCCAUAGCCCUACAUCAAAGAGUCAAUGUGCAGUAAAAGAUUGGCUUUGUAUGCAUGACUAUCAAAGCAACCUUAUCUUGCGUUGUCAUUUUAAAGUAGUUUGUAGCUAUGUAAAGGCUAUUUCACACAAAUAUUCUUGAAGUAUAGUUGCUAAGUUGGGGCCAAGAGGACAUCUUUAGUGGUCGGGCAAAAAUCUCCAAAAUAUUAUUUACAUGGGAUGACUUUUGCAUUUCCUCAAUAAUUCAUUGUGUUCUGUUUGUCUCUAUACUUGCAUAUAAACACUACAAAAAAUUCCAUUUUCACAUCACAGUAAUUCAAAUUAGUAUGUUUCUACUACACAUAAUCCAAAUCAAACAAUUUAAAAAAUUUAAACAUAUGUCAUAUGGUCCAAAACUCCAAAUGCAUAAGAUAAAACUAAAUUCAAGCAUAACAUAUGAUCCAAUGGAUAAUAUAGAUCAUCACAAGCUCCUAUUUCCACUACCAUUCCCAUUCCCAUUCCCAUUCCCUCUCCCAUCCUUCAUGCUAGAGUUUAUGCAUGCAUUAAUUCCAUGUUGGCUAUUUAUGCACAUGCAUUCUGCGCACAUAAAAAUCUAUGUUUGUUUGUUUUGCAAGAGGUUCAUACAUUUUGUCAUUUGAAAAUUAGAAUUUCAAUUCUAGUUUAUCAUAAUUGGCAUAAUGGGUUUAUUUUUCUAAACUUUUUAUAUGAUUUAGAUUGCAUUGUGUUAGUUCUUGAAUUCUUUACUUUUUCUUUACCAUGGGCAAGAAUGCAACCAUGAUAAUGUUAGAUGAUAGUGAAGGAUAUCAAUUCUUGUGCAAAAAUGUAAUAAACAUUCUCAAAUGAGUCUAGCUAGCUUGUGAAAUGUAUCGUUAGAACCUAGAUUUGCUCAUCCUGGCUUCUCACAAUUGACCAAGCCACAUGAUAUAAAGGAAACUAGUCACCACCUAGUGCACUUGGGUGAGGUGCUCUAGUACUAGGUAGUCGCAUUUUAGCAAACUGUAAGAAAACUAUCAUUGUAAAAAAUCCAUAUUAUGCAGUACAAGGAUUAGACAUGCCAAAAAAUAUGAUGUAACUCUUCUUGUUUUAGCUCCCUUUUUUCUAUCAUAUCAACAUUAAACAACACUUCAUUAAAAGAUAUCUAAUAGACAUGUCACUAAGAUUUAAUUUCACACGCCGAGAGGGAAAGGGUUUCUCCAUCUUUUCUUCCACGUGCAUGAGUAUACACAUACACUAACACCACACACAUCUAAACCAAUGAACUGUACAUAUUUUGAUGAUCACAACACUAGUAAAUUUAGUGGAACUUACUACCUCUCAUAAUUUUGGAGGUUAACGAGGGGCGAGACCUACGCAACUCUAGUGAUCUAACCUAUACUAGUUAGGCAUGUUCUUCUUACUCUAUGGUCUAAGGGUUUAUUUAGCUUGUCUCCUCUAGCUCACCACUAUGUAGUUGUGGCACCCCAAAACCACAACACAUGGUUUGUUCGCCAAGUGCUGCAAAUGGUAUUGUAAACUAAAGAGAAAAGUUUGAAUGGCCAAACUUGUAGCAGACUAUGGAAGCAAACACAAAUAGAGGCUCUAUUGCGAACUUUUUUGUAGAUUGGGAAGCAAUCCAAACACACUCUAUGGUUAGGCUCAAUGACACACUCUAAGAUGGGAGUUCUAGGCUCCACAUCUAUAUUUAAUAUCAAACAAGCAUGAAAAGUGGUUCGGGCUUGUCCAACACACCAAGCUUUUGUACUGUCCUAUUAGUCUCCACGUUGUCGUUGAGCAUCCAUGUCACCAAGGAUGAUGGUCUUGCUGUUAGAAUGACUCACAGGAAGCAAAAUAGGUCUCACUUACAUAAGUGGAAGCAACACCUGGACUCAUGUUGUGGAGAAGGUUGCGAGAGCGUAGGAAAGAGAAGUUGCAAAGCCCAUAGAAAAUGCAUGCAUAGUAGAGCCCCAAAAAAGUAGCUUACAUUUGGGUGCAUUAUAAUACUAUUGGCCUCAACUCGUCAUCUAUAUGGACUACGACUUUUGGUUUGAGCUAACAAAACUACUUGCUUUGCUAGCUUGUGCCCUUAGAACGAUAUUCAAGGCAUUGUUUGGCAUACGGAGGUGCUCAUAGGGGAUAGGAUAUGGGUAUGUACGUGUGUGCUUGUAUAUAUAAGCAUAUGCGUUUGUACUGGAUCUCGAAAAAAUAAGACCUUGUGAUAGACUCUACCCAUUAAGGAGAGAGGAAUUAGAGGGAUGCAAAUCAAAAGUUGCCGAAUAACAACAUUAGUGUGCAUACGUUAUGGGUGUGUGCUUCUUUCUAGUUUAUGUUGAGAAUGGUCUAAAAGCAACUCUAAAAGCCUAUUUAUAUCAUUCCGUAUUAAGGAAAAUAUAUUUUCAUGAAGAAGAAAAAAAAUCUCUAUAAGAUCUCUAAAUAUUUCCAUCUCUACAAUAAAGCGGAGCUGGCUCUUAAGAUUCUUAUAAUAACAAAAUAGGAAGAAAUUGUAUAGGUAGCAGUUUAUGAGAAGAAGUUUGGAGAUAUUAUUGUAACCACCAACGCGCAAUCUGAGCCGUCGAUCUCCACGACCCCUCUGUUCACACGACCACGGUCUCCACCGGGAAAGGAAUUGGGGGCGAUUCGAGCCCAAAGAUCGCAUCGGCAUGGCAUCCAAAUCCAAAGGCCCAAAGCGCAAAAAGGCGAUGAGGCGACGAGAGAGACGCGAGCGAGUCGGAGCGGUCGGUCCUCUCGUCUCUCCCGUUGGGUUCCAUGGACAACGGACGGGAGGUGGCGUGGUGGACACAGCUCGCCGGGCGGUGCCAACAGCGUGACGCCCGCUGCCGCGAUUGGAAUUGGAAACUAGAAACUGCCCCCCCCCUCACCUCCUCACGAGGCCCCUGCUCCCAGCCUUCGUCUUCUCCCUCCUCCCUCCCCCUCCCCCUCCCCCUCCCCCUCCCCGCGUUUUUCAUUCAUCAUCAAUCAUCAGGAUAAAAAAGGCCCAGAUUCAUGGAUGCUUCCUCCCCUCGCCCUCGCCUCCGCGUUUGAGCCACAGACCCGAGCGAUCGUGCCCCGAUCCCGAUUACCCACCAAUCUUUUUCCUCCGCCAUGGCGAUCCGCCCGGACUAAUGCCUGAUUCUCCGUCCGACGAUCCUCGGUAAGCCCUCGCCCGCCCCCCACUGGUUUGGUCCUGCGUGGUUCACAUGGCUCGUCAGGUUCUUGCGGGUUCCUUUCCGGUGUGUGUGUGUGUGUGUUUUUUUUUCUUGUUGCGGAUUCGUCUUGCGUGUGGGUGUUCCGCGGACUCCCUUGUUGCCCUGCUCGAGUAUCAUUCGCUACGAUUUUCUUGUUUUCUUUAGUCAUUCGUAGGAAUCCUCCUGUUCUACAGGGUUCUGUUACGAAUCCGUGGGGUUUUCUGUUGCAGAAUUGAGCUUUUUCCUGCGGAGGCUUGGACCAUUCUCGUGCGCUCCUUUGAUUCUCUUCGUCCCCUGCGAAUUUCGUUGCUGAACGUCAUCUGUCCGCUCGCAGGUUCUUCUUCUGGAGGAAGAUUGGGGCGGAAUUCUGGUGGGGUUCGUGUGGGCGCGUAGGGCCCCCUGACGGCCUGGCCUGACGCAUCAGCGGCGAGCCAUGGCUCCCGCUCCCGUUCCAGCUCUACCUCCAGCCAUGGAUAAUAAGGAUGAGGGCGACGGUGGCGCCAAGAACCAGAACGGCAUGGUGGUGGACGAGGGCGACAGUGGCGCCAAGAACCAGAACAGCAUGGUGGUGGUGAAAUCCGAGGCUGUCUGCACGGAUGAUGGCCCUCUGGUGGUCGCUACUGAGCUUGUGAAAUACGAGGGAGGCGAUACCACUGAAUGCUCGAGCUCGUUUGGGGACACCUGCUCUGGAUUUGAAGGCGAGGCAGACAAUGGUGAACCAGAAGUGAAUUCUGGCAUGUCCGCUCAUGACAAUGGUGUUGGGCCCUCAAAGCCCCCUAGGUGAGUCCUCCAUACUUCCUCGUUUGCCCUGAAUGCUACUGAUCUCAUUAUUGUGCAUUCCUGGUUCAUGGAAGAAUGAACAGGUGUAAGAUUAUGCUAGGUUGUUAUGUGCUUUUGUGUUUCAGUGUUUGCCUGUUUGGUUUUCCCUCUCUCCCGCGCUCCUGGUGAUAAAACAGAAGGUUGUAGUAGGGUUUCGACUUAUACUAUGUUGUAAUUAUUGCACCUUCCUGAUUGCGGAAGCGACAAGAAACGUAGGAUCAUCAUUGUACCUAAAACAGAAAGAUAUGAUUCAGUAACGUAAUGCGGUGUCUUGUAUGCUUAUUGAUUAGUACCUUCCCAUCGGAAUUUUCCUUUUCUGGGCCACAUUUCGUUCAUCAUUUAUAUGAAAUGUUAAAAACUUAGAAGGUGAUAAUAACACUUAGAUUAGGACAGGUAUAAUUUCUGCGCAAUUCUUAUAUGCCAAAUAGAAGCAGGUAGCAACAGCCUGAAAAAAAAAUGUGUUCUGUCCUAUGAAGUGCCGUGCCACUUAUGUGAAGUGUGCCAAUCACAAUCAGAAGAGGCAAAUUACCAGAUAACCCUAUGAUCUUAUGUUUUUCAGGUAGCUAUUUAGAAACACAAUUAAGCAAAUGGUAGCUUAUUCAAAAGCAUUGUGAAUUUACCGUUUUGGUUGUUCAACCAGGACUUCGUUUCAGCAACCAGGUAGAUUAAUUCGAUUAUAAUCGGCAUGGAUUUAUGGGUGACCAUAUGUCUGUCAAUCCAGUAGUAGGCCAAAACACAAAAUAUUGACACAAAGAGCACAAAUAUCCUUCUGGUUAGAGAGUCCUUGUGUCAGUGUUACCUUUUUCUUCUUUAGCUUUUUGGAAAAGUUCACCUAGGUGUUUUACUAAAUGGUAUAUGUUAAACAUGAUAGUCUGAAUUUGCAAAAGAAGUUUCCAGCUUGGGAUUCAAAACCAUGCCAACAUUGAUGAUUUUUUUUAUUGCUGUAGACCUAUAUAGAUUCCUUUUGUGCCUUUCAGGAGACAUUGUUAUUUUUAUGCUUAUUGCCUUUCUUUAAAAGUAUGGUUCUGAUUUGUGCCUGCUUAUUUCUGAUAUUCAUGCUUUAAUAAAAAAACUAUAAUGUGUAGUCAUGAACAAAGAAAUCGAUAUUGAGCUACUCUUAUGAAUGCUUCAAAGUGUAAGCUUACCUGUCAUUUUAUGGGUAUGGCUAGAAUAUAGAACAAGCAACUACAGUACUUGCUAUAUUUCUUAUCUUGUUGUAAUGUUUUAUUUUGACAUGCUUCAUUUUUAUACAAAUUUUUUGUGAUUAAUCUUCAGAAGGAAAAAAGUGAUGGCUGAGUGGAGCAAUUCUGUUCGUCCAAUUGAGUGGAGAUGCCACUGGUUAGAGUUGCGAAUGAGGGAACUGUCAUCUCAAGUAUCAAAGUAUGACAGGGAGCUUGCUCUAAUAAAGAAACAAAAGGAAUCAAAACAAGCAGUAAGCAAAGCAAAUGGUACUAUGUCAGAAUCGAUGCAGAUUCACAAAGGCCAUGGAAAGAGUAUCAUGAAGAGGAGAAAGAGGAAGAGGCAUGAAGAAAAUGUUGAUGCGUCCUCGUACAUCAGCAAGCACCGGAUAUUGUCAUACUACCAUGGUCUGGCAUCCAAUUAUGUCGUCUUCUUUGUAGGGAUAGGACAUCAAUUUAUCUGUGUUUGUGUUAAUUUUGCACCAGGUUUCGUUCUUAAUGACAAUAAUUCUUUCAAUAUUUUGCAGAUAAACAAAAUAAGGGAGCUGAAACUGAUGGUGUCUUGGUUGAUGACGAUUGUGUCACAGGUAUGAAUAUAUCUAUUCAGUAUCUUGUCAAACUUUUCAGUGAAGUUAAAAUGGAAAACAUAGUAUCUAGCAAAGGUACACCAUUAGACAGAAUUAGCUCUUGACUCAGUUGUGAGAAAAAAGUUGCUUUUGUUACACCAUAUGCAGUAUGCACGCUAUCAAAGGAAACCAAGAUAUCUAAUAUAACCUUGGUGCCCCAGUUUUUUUCUUUAACACAAAGGAGACCUGCGCAUCUUUGUAUUAAGAAUAAAAAGGGGCAAGAACCCUUACAAUGCACACCGACACACCCUUUGAUUUUAAGAAAAAUAAGCGCCCUUUUUGUACAACAAACAUGAUCUUGACCAAAACUAGAAACUAGACACCAUCCCAUUUUUGCCUUUUCAUUUUAGACUAUACCUUCGAUUUUACUUUAUUAGAAUAUAUAUGUCAAUAAAAGUAUAAAACCUACAAUUGUUUGAAAGCACAUUACAUGGCAAUUUUUUAAUGUCAUUUAUGUGACAAAUCUUAAUGCUUACAUGUACUUUUGUGGUCUUGGUUUUUAAAGUUGGAAAGUAUCCAAGCAAAUAUUCUCUCUAUCCAAGUAUGUAGGGUGUAUUUUAUUUUGGCAGUGUUCAAAACUAGACCUUUUUUUAACCGGGAUUGAAAACUAGACUUUGAUCAUUUUUUUCUCGCAAUACUGUUUACACAUUACAGCUAUAACACGAAUUCAGUGUGAAAGCACUUUGAAAUAUUUAUGCAGCUGUAUUGUUUAUACACAAGUAAUACAUAAUUUGACUAAGCUUAAAUCAGAUAUAUGGUCUUUGAAUUUCCAGAAACAUGCAUACCUUACAUAAUUUGAAAGAGUUAGUUUAUAUAGCCAUAUGAUAAAAUCAUAAAACAUGCCAACAUCUUCCUGACCCUCUAUGGUUUUAUUUGAUAUUAUGGUAGCUUUCCCAUUUUUGGAUAGAUCAAUGAAGGACAUACAUAACCACUCGAGGUUUAGUUAAAUUGGCCAUGCAGAAACUGUGAUUCAUCUUUAUUCUCUGCCUAAGUAAUUGUCAUGCAAGUGCUAACUGUGUAUUUGGUUCAUUCUGAUUGCAGUUGAUGGUAGUAGCAGAGGUGGACUUGACACUGCUACAUUGCUUGAUUCCGAGGAUUAUGAUAUGAUUUGCGAGCAACGUACUUUACAGGAUAUUCUCCUGGAAAUUGAUGGGGUUCAGUCUCGAGUUCAAUUGCUGAAAGAUCGUCUCAACAAGGCUCAUUCUGAAGGAGAAAAUUUGGCAUUUUCUGGGGGCGAUACUCAUGUCCGGGUGUCUCGGAAGAGACAGCAUACUCAAAAGCACUCAUUCUCUUAUACAAAGUCUCGACACACUAAACCACAGAAAAAGAAGAAUCUAAACAUUUUGCUGAAGGAUGAUGAUGGACAAGCUCUUGCAGGAGGAUCUGCUUUGCUUCACAGAGAAACUGGUGCUCAUAUAAUAGGUACAAGUAGGAGUACUGAAGAAAGAAGUGGAGAGUGCAAUCACUUGAGGGACAAAGCCAUCACUUUGGACCUACUGUUGGGUACUGGCAAUUCCAUAACAAAUAGUGAUAUUGGGGAUUUAUACAAAGAAGUAAGUCUUUGGCCCUUUGCUUAUUCUUAUUCCUAAUUUAAUAAUUCAUUGCUUGUUUGGAGUUGGGUUGAUACUCUGGAAUUGCUGCUUACAGAUUAGAAUUUGGAUCAUCUUAUAUGCAAAUUAAGCUUGGGAUGUAUAAAUUCGCCCAUUUACUAUUUCUAGAGAAAAUAUUGAGAAAAUUACACUGCAUUUCUAAAAAUAUUGCAGGGAUGUCCGCUUUACUUGAUUACAUUUAAAUAAAAAAAGCAUGAUACCCAUGUAAACAUCUACUGUUUCUCUGUAGGAACCUGGAUCUGUAGUUAUGUCUUGGAUAUGAGGUAGGGGCUUAAAAAUUAUUAGGAUGUUUGUAAAUUAGAUCCAUACAGAAUUCUAUAUCUGCUUUGUUAGUCAUAGAUAUAAGAUAUCUCUAGUGAAAUUUGCAUGUUAUAAGAUUGAAGCCAUCAGGGGAGCAAUGUGAUGAAGCUAGUUAUUUUUAAAUUUGUUUUUGCAAACACACAAAUACUAGUAAUAUAGUAUGUUAUGUUUCCAUGACUACAUUUUGAAAGCUUAAUGAUAGUUGUGCAUCUAAAACUAUUUCACUGAUGUUGAACCACUAACGUUUUAGCUGAUUGGGCGAUAUAUUUGCACUAGCAGUAGCAUUUAGUUGAUACUACUGUUUCUUUUCUUUUUCUGUAGAACACUGAUGAUAUCCUCAUAGACAAUCAAGGAGCCAAUGAAGCUUGUGAGCAGUUUUAUAAGGCAAAGCAGCCUUCUGGAAGUUCUUCCAAAGACCAGAACAUUUCUGCUGCAGCAGAAAUGAAGAAUAAUUCUCCACCAGUGGAACUGAAGAACACUAGUGCUGCAGUUAAAGUUGAGAGCAUUUAUGCUCCAGUUGAAGUAGAUAGCACUUCUGCACCAGCAUUGGAGCAAGAGUCAUUCCUUGAAAAGUCACCCUCGAGGAAGCCUGUCUCCCCUGGGAACAAGCAGGAGCUGGAACCUAAGACAAGGCAGAAGAAGAAAGUCUCUUUCUUUACCAAGAAGCAGAGGAAAGAGGCCUCCAGAACUCCUGAUGCAAAGGAAAAAACUGAGGGCAUGUCCUCAGCUGCAAAGAACCAAAGGAGCACGGCCUCUGAUGUAGCAAAGGAGAAAACUGAAAGCACACCCUCUGCUGCAACAGGUCCAGGUGGAAAGAAGCGUAAAUCUGGAAUUGAACCUGCAAAUGCAGAGAAGCCAUCCUCAGCAGUGAAGAAGCAGAAAACUGGGAAGCCAUCCUCAGCAGCUACAAGGGCGCCAAAGGCUAAAAAUGCAGGCCCAGCAACAAAGAAGCAGGAGACUGAAAGCUCAUCCUCCACAGAGAAGACCGCGAGUGCCCCCCUGAAGUUGCAGGUUGAGAAGGCUGUACUGGUUGUAAAUAGCAGGAGGAGCCAAAGGGUCCGUAAGCCCAAAGUUUUUGCUGAAUGAAGAAGCAGAUAGAAUCGUCUUAGGCUCUCUGGU